This 56508-nucleotide long non-coding RNA is filed under the name Setaria italica (foxtail millet). RNAcentral's name for it is "long non-coding RNA (SITA_LNC000927)". The record is from RNAcentral. Lineage: Eukaryota; Viridiplantae; Streptophyta; Magnoliopsida; Poales; Poaceae.
GUGGGAGCAGAACUUUUCCAACUUGGAUGAAUACUUUGAAAGGCAUGGUGGAGCUCAAAUUAUUCGUUUGCAAAAAGCUCGAAGAGCUUCCUGCACUCUGGGAGCUACCAGCUCUGCAAAUUCUUCACCUGGAGGGUCUGGAGAGUUUACAUUGUUUGUGCAGCGGUGGUACUACACCCGUCACAUUUCCAAAACUGAAGGUGCUUACCUUGUUAAAAAUGGCAAAAUUUGAGGCAUGGUGGGAGACACAUGAGGUACAAGGAGAAGAGCCCAUAUUUCCCAAGGUCGAGGAGCUGGAGAUUAAGGAGUGUAACAGUUUGACUGCAUUACCAAAAGCAACGUCGGUGAUUACAGAAUUGUCUGGCAGAGUUGACACUAAGUGCCGCUCUGCAUUUCCAGCAUUGAGGAAAAUGAUCCUAUUUGAGUUGACUAUGUUUGAAAGAUGGGAGGCAGGCGAAGGAAUUUCAGGCGAAGAGGUAACCUUUCCUCAGCUCGAGGAGCUGUCAAUCAUGUAUUGUCAAAGCCUGAGUGCACUACCAAAUGGAGCUGAAACUGUGUGGUGCCGCUCUGCAUUUCCAGCACUGAGGAAACUAGAAUUAUCUAGUUUGUCGGCCCUUGAGAGGUGGGGGGCAGCUGAAGGAACUCCAGGAGAAGAGGUAACCUUUCCUCAGCUCGAGGAGCUGACAAUCGGGUCUUGUCGCAGCCUGAGUGCACUACCAAAAGGGCCAUUAUUGGCUAAGCAACCAUUUGGCAGAGCUGGAACUGUGUGCUGCCGCUCUGCAUUUCCAGCACUGAGAAAACUAAAAUUAUUUUUUUUGUCAGCUCUUGAGAGGUGGGGGGCAGCCGAAGGAACUCCAGGAGAAGAGGUCACAUUUCCUCUGCUGGAGAACUUGAGUAUCGAUGAUUGCCCGAAGUUGACUGAUCUACCUGAAGCACCGAAGCUAAGUGAAUUAUCCAUAAGAACAUAUGGUGAUCAGCAAAUAUCGCUAGAGGCAGCUAGCAGAUGCAUCCCUUCAUUGUCCCGUCUGCAUCUGGAUGUGUCGCCCGAUGACACAGAAACAACAUUGCUGCAUGUCAAGAAGAAAUUGAAUGGUACACUCGCCCUACCAGCUAUGAGGUUAGGUUGCUGCGACGUUUUUUUCUCCUCCCGCUCAAGCGCACUGGCGCUAUGGACAUGUUUUGCACAGCUAGUAGAUUUGAAGAUUUGGUGUUGCGAUGCUCUUGUCUACUGGCCAGAAAACGUGUUCCAGGUCCUAGUAUGCCUGAGGAACUUACAUAUUUCCACAUGUAGCAAACUGACAGGACGCACACAAGCUUCUGAUGAGCAAUCUGCUCCAGCUCCAGAACGUGGUGGACUCCUGCCAUGCCUGGAGUCUCUAAGGAUAGAUUAUUGUCCAUCUUUGGUAGAGGUCCCCAUCCUGCCGGCAUCUCUUAAGACAUUACAUAUUGAAGGCUGUGAUGAAAUCGAGUCCAUCGUAUUCUGUCACCCGGAGGAUACGAGAUUGGUGAGUGGAGAAGGUGUUGUACGGCCGGAUACGUCAUCAUUAAUUCCAGGGUCUACAGCUGUACUGAAGCUGUCAUCUGGAGCCAACCAUCGUUUCCUUCCAUUUCCAUGCCUAGAAUAUCUACUUAUAUGGUAUUGCAGUGGCUUGUCAGAGGUUGCCAAUCUUCCUCCGUCUAUCAAGACCUUGGACAUUUAUUCCUGUAACAAUCUUCAAUCCCUAUCAGGAGACCUCCCGUUGCUGGAAAAACUCGACCUUUUUAGAUGCGAAAGACUGGUAUCCUUACCGGAUGGGCCUCAAGCAUACUCAUCUCUUAGAGUUCUUCGGAUAAUGAAUUGUGAUGGUAUAAAGUUGCUUCCGCCAAACCUUCAGAGCCGUUUGGGUUACCUUGAGAAGAAAGAUCUAGAUGCCCGUUACGAAGGUAAUCUCCAGUUUCUUUGUUUCUUUUAACAAAAUGAUCAGGAGCUCAAUUGCUGUUGCCUAAAAUGCAACUCUGUGCUUAAACAUUCUGUUAGUCAACUGUUGUUGAUAUAUACAUUAUAUCGAGUAUAAUGCACCACUAAUACCUAUAUUUAUGUGCACUUGUGUCACUUAAAUCCAUUAACUUUCAUAUAUUGCACAUUCGAGGUAUCUAAACACUUACAGCUGGAUCAAGAAGUUUAUGCACCAAUAUACACUUCACUUUACUCUAGUCAUCCUUGUAUAUCUCCUUGUUGUCCGUACAAAGAAUUUAACUAUAAGAUGAUCUUUGUGGUUCACUUUUGAUACCUUGGUUGUAAACUUGUAAUUGCUGACUCGAAUCAUGUAAUAAAAUCAAUCAUCUUCCUUUAGUUGUAUUUAAAGCAGCAUGGCAUCAUGGAAUUAUUGCAGCCGAAUUCACUAGCUCCAAUUAAAGUGGCACUGGUCCUAGUGUUUCUCUGGACAUUCACUAGCUCCAUUGUAUACAGUUCAAGUAUGUGUAGUUUUCUUUUCAUGGCUUAUGCCUUUUGACAUAAAUAAUAAUUUUCCUUUGAAACAUUUACUAUUGGGUGCCACAGCAUAUUCUCCUGUGUAUAUAUACUUUCUAACUUUGUGUUGACUUGCAUGCAUAAAUUCUAACAUCAUGUAUGAUCAUGGCCUGAUUGCCAGAACCAACCUGGAAACGUUCGAUCAGGAAGCUGGUGUGCUUGAAAUAGUAGAUCAAGACCUGACCAAAGAAAGUUAUUUCCAAGGUAUUUUUGCAAAAACGUCACCAAGGUUUGUAAUAUUAGUGUUCUUGAUGAUUGAUUUGAAAUGAUGCUAGCUCCUAAUGCUGACUUCCUAUGCGUUGUGACUUCCUUGUAGGAUCGUGCUAGAUCUGCAAAAGAUGGAUUAUUGUGACUCUUGUUUAGAAUGUAUCAUAUGCGCAUUCUCUCCAGUAAAGUUAAGGCAAAGUCCUAGAUUUUGAGCAGAAAACAAGUCCUAGAUUGCAAGCUGAAGAAUUUAGCACACAGAGCUGCAUGCUCCAGUCUUUUAUCCUUAUUUUUUUCUUUUGAACUAUGACGUGUUUGCAUUCGUGUCUGCUUCAGCCUCCAGCACAAGCGAAACACGGGCAGCACUUCCAUUUUAUGAUUUGUUUAUCCACAUACAUGUCCGAUUGACCGCAGAGGAUACUUUGCCAUAGAGUAGACCAACAGUCCAACGUACUCAUGUUGUUGCUCGACAAGCUGUCCAAGCUGCUGCUUGAUAUGAACUGAAAGUGCUGAGUUUUCUCCCGUGUAUGUUCUGUGUAUCAAAUACUGAAUGGUGUGCAGGGUGAUCCUCCAUCCUGGAAUGGCACGGUCUUGUGCAGAGGUCUCAUUGUUGUUGACCUGUUUCUUCAAAACUGCAUGUGCAGCAACAUUUUCUCCUGGCAGUGCUGCAAUGGAAUUGAAAAGAAUGGUGAUUGUUAUAGUAUAAUUGUCAUAUAUAGUCUGGGACACAAAACAAUGGAGGUACAUGAGCAAGGAAGAAGCUCUGGAGGCAGGGGAUGGAACAGAACAGAGACACGGACUCUGUCUUCUUCCGAAUGCAGCUCCUCUGUAUUGGCGAUGAAGGACCCUACAAGUUGGUUCUCAUAGACAGAAUUGAGAGCUACGGAUGUCCGCUCCCAAGAACGAACUGCCAGAGCAAGAAGAUGAACGUAAUCUGUAUAGAUAAAAAAAUUUAACAGAAGUUUUCAUGAGUUAUCCUUUGUCUGGGGCCAUAGUACAAACCCUGCAUUUCGAAUUUGGGACUGCCCUCCUGUAUGGUGUGACCUAAAUUUUAACAAAAAUUAUCCUAGUGUGGUGUGGCUACGGUUGUUUCAUACGACUAGUGGUGGUACCCGUGCGACCCGCACUGGUUUAAAAAUAUAUAAUAAAAACAAACUUAUUAUUCAUGAUAUUAAAUACGUAUAAUAUACAAAUAAAUCUAAUAUAUAAAAGAUGUCCCAAACAAACUACCAGCAUCUUUGGAUCACACGGGUCUACCAUCAAGAAAUAAUUCUUAAGAAAUGAACUCUUUUGUAUAGUAAGUCAUUUUUCUAAUGAUACUGGCAGUAGUUAAAGCAGGAAUGUAGGAUAACUAGGUAAAGAAGUUUGUGUGAUUGUGUCUACCAUCCUAAGCUGGCAUUCAUGUCUACCAUAGUAUGACAACCCAUCUUGUCGAGUGGAGACAAUUUCGUGUAAAAAAAAGGAGUUCAGAUGAAUUUGUGUCAAUUAACGCUUUCCAGUACUACACAUCUUCCCCCAAUCACCUAGAAUUCCAGACAGAUCUUUCUUCCCCAACCAGCUAAUCCAGAGCAAGGGGUCAGAUUUUUUCUACCGUUUGUAAAUUGUAACCAUGCUACCACUUUACUCUCCCAUCUGUGUUUUAAAAGAACUUAAGUUAGAAAAUUUUGAAAGAAGAAUAAAACGAUAAACAAAAGCAACUGGAAACCCAAUUUUGAAGCAACACAAUGUUAUAUUUUCAAUUCACCGAUCACAGGUACCAUUACUGCCCUGGGGCUUUAAGUCGCCGCAAACAAAACUGAGGAGUCUCCUACAUACUACGAAUUAGCUGAAACUAUAAUGACAUCAUUCUAAUUACUACAAGAAAGGUCAGGUCAAUUUGGCUUAAUUACCUUGUGGUUCUGCUUCGGUUGAUGGUAGACAAAUAUUAAUACAAGGAAUUUAAGCAUUGCUACCUUGAAUGAACACAUAUAUCCAAAAGAAAAUGUGUUUGGAAGUAAUUCUUGCUCUAUUCAAAUGUCUAGGGAAUAAUUUCAAAUAUUAUUCCAAUUUGAUUCUUUGCCUCAUCGACAACUCAACUCAAUUCUCAUUACAAUAGUUCAUAUGUCCAGAUUGAACAUGUACUUUGAAAAAGAUGCAUAGGCUGAAUAAUGUCCCCAUCCCAAUAAACAUACCAAAACAAAACAGCUAAAUUAAGAAACACACAUCCAUAUAGAGGUAAAGCUUCUGCCUUCUUCCUCAAACAUGAUUUAGAAAUCUUUACAAACCAGCCAGCCUGUAAUAAAACGUCUGCAUAAUAAUAAAAAAAAAGAAUGAGCCAUUGAUACUUACGAUUAGUAUUAGAAACAAUCAUCUCAUUAGGGGCUUACAAAGUAAGAUUUAAAGUCCAAACAAAGUAAUAGUUGAGUGUCCUUGCAUUGCAAUCGCCAUCGAUACUAACAAGCAUUGUGCAUCAUUGAACUCUAGUGGGGGCAAUAAUAUGAUAAUAUUUAACUAUGAUGAAAUGGUGAGCCAUUAACCUUGCCCUUGUGGAUACAUAAGCAGAAGAAAAGUACAUAAAUUCCAAAUCCGAAUUUAGUAGCAAUAUCAUCAAUACAUUUUCUUUGAAACGCACCAUCUGCUGCGUUGUGGGUUCUGAUUUCUUGCUGAGGAACAUUUGCACAAGCAGAGCCAUGUUGUGUCCAGGUAACCAGUAGAACAAAUAAAAAAGGACUAUCUCUGAUGCAUAGGUAUCCUAUAAUCUUCGACAAAUACAAAGAGUUUAACAAAAAUCGAAUGGUUUUAAAAAAACAUCACAGAGUCACAAGAUUUAGAAUCAAAAGAAUGGAAGGCUUUGUAAAAACCAUGCGCAAUUUCCAAACAGCACAAUUUUCUCUUCCAUUACAUAGAUUUUAACAAGGUUAUUAUGUAAAAUUAAAGGUAUAUUAGAAAGGUAGAUAUAGGCACAUAGCUGUUACUCCAAGGUAACAUAGGUUUCAGGUAGAAAGCUUCAAUCAGCAGCAAAAGCCCCUUUUCAUCUAGAUGGCUUGCAUAAUCAAUGCCUCCUCAUUCUGGUGUUUGAAAUGCUCCUGUACAACCAUCACAACAGACAGCUCAUCAUCUACAUCACCUUACUGUAAAGAAAUACCAUAGUAAUUUUUCUCUGCACAAAUAAGCAACGUGUAAGAAAGCUUUAAUUUUUUCACAGCCACAAAAUUUAAAUCCAUAGCAUGUAGUAACUAGUAAGCAUCUGUAGUAAUUCCUAUUUAAAGUGUCCCAGAAGCUUAACCACACCAAAGCAAUCGACGUAGAAGUCAGAAAGCUAACCAUAAGUCAAUGAAAUAGCAAAAUGAAGCCCUCGAAAAGCGAAACUGCCUUUUCUACAGGAGGUAGAAGUACUAAUACUUACUUCCCCCAUCCCAAAUUGUGGGUCGUUUUAGCAUUUCUACAUUAAUAAAAAGUUAGAUGCUGCCUUUUCUACAAGCUGUCGCUCCCACGAGGUUAUCUGCUAGAUCACUGGACGCAAUUUGCCAAUGGGACUGUUAUGGCAAGUGGGCUGGCCGCAGGCCUAGGCCCACGAGUAUUGUAGCUCGUGAACAGUACCACAAGGGGAAUAAGAUUGGUUUGUUAGCAGGUCAUUAGAGAUAAGGUUGUUAGAGAGAUACGGUUAUUUAGAUUAGAUUGGGUUUGUUAGGUAGCUGGCUAUAUAAGCACAGCCACACCAUCCAUUGUAAUCAAGCAAGAAGAACCCUAAAAGUAGUCGGAGCCUCCAAGGGAGGGCGACAAAUAGGUUCUUCGUGCUAUCCCUAGUUCUACCAUAUCAAGGACCGACCAACCCCUGCAAACAAAAUAAAUGUAGCAGGAUGCUGGUUUAAGUCGGCAGAAGAAGGGCAAAGAAGAUACAAAGUAAACAUUAAGGAAUUGAUCUUAAUUGGAUGCUUCCAUUUGAAUCUAUCUAGCAGUGAUCUAAUAACCAGAUGCACCACCAUAAUAACCAAUGGCAAAAAAUCUCAGGCAUAAACUUCUAUGUUUCAGACCAUACAUUUCAGCUUGACGUGGUAACAAUAAUGGAGCCGUACUGCAGGAGGAUGUACUUGAAAAGUUUAUUUUACCAUGGAUUGAAGAUACGGCAACUAGCCACUUUGCGAUUCUUCAAUAUCUUUCCUUGAGCUAAUAACUAUUGCAAGCUCAUCACCGCUAACACGAAAAUCAGACCUGUAAAACAUAAAGCUUAUAACAUAACCUAAAGAAAAGUAAUUGUCUGAUUCCUAGAGCUACAUCUCAAGCAACAGUAUAUUACUAACUUUAGUAAUCAUGGAGAUGAAUGGCCAAUUCUUCAACAUAUCUUAUAAUUAGUUAACAUACUUCUGAAAAAUGUCUCAUACUUACAGUUUAUAGUUAUGCAUUUUGCAAAGUUAAAAGCUCUUUUAGAUUUCUGAAGUUUUCAGUGAGGAUCCGCAAAUCUCUGUGAUGAUACCAGUUUCAUACAAAGAUGCAAGAAUUAUAUCUAAUAGUAUUGCCAGACCCAUUGGAUGUGUCCAUGAAACACACCUACUAAUUGGACAAUGGCUGUAGUGAAAAAUUCUUUGCAGAGCAAUAACAUGAAACAGAUAAGAAAUGAGAAAAAAGAGUAGGGAUCACGUACUAACCUAGGCCGUGCACUUGCCUGCUGUAUGCUAAAGGGGAAGAAACAUGUUCGGAUCAAACAUGGUGUCCUUCAAACAUGGUGGCCCUCACCUCUAAACAGUCAGGUAAAUCUAAGAGAAAUAGAAUUGCUGCCAACUGAAAGACUCGAAACUGCUAGAAGAAAAAUAACUCGCAGUGGCAACCUAUCAACACCAUUUUGAAGGCUACAAACCCUUUACUGCGUUAGACAUUAUAAUUUUAGGCUUGUUCAUCAAAGAGUGAAUUGCCGAAUUGAAGGAACAUACAAUAGAUUCCACAAGUACAUGAUAAAGAGGAGAUGAUAAAGUGGAAAUAAUACCCCUACUUACAUGUGUCUUUGGAUACAACAGGUACACGAUAAAUAAAGAUACAGAAGUCAAAAUAAAGAGAAGUUUGAAGGAGCGUAAAAGGAAUCGCAAUGCAGUUUUAUUUGAAUCCAUGUAUGCAUGUACGUGCAUUCUUGUGUUCAGUUAUGACAAAGAGGGUUAGGAGGAACGAGAAGUACCUGCUAUGCUGCUGCAUCUGGCUCUUUUCCUGGCAAGAGAAACAAAUAAAAAAUGAAUAAGGUGCAUAAAUAACAUAGUGCUGCAAUGCUAAAGGAGGAAACCAAAACAAACAUUUACGAAAUUGAUUAUGAUUAUUAGUAACUGAAUACAUUCAGAAAAAAAUAAAAACCAUUCGCAUUAGGGCUUGGCGAUAUAACUGAACCGUUAGGUCGCAAAGAUCAAGCCAUGUCACUAUAAGCAAUGCUGGUAGUGAUAGGGAAAAAAAGAAAUAACAGUUCUGACAGAAUCACUUAUGAUUUGGUUGCACACACAAAGUAGCAAGGAAAAAAAACAGUGCUUAGACAAAUGAAAACUUCAUAAAUCAAACUGCUGAAUGAUUGCAAGGGAGGUGCAUACUUCCUCUUUCUGUUGCCCAUAGCAUUUGUCAUGUCAUCCUUCGGCAUAUUGGUGCUUGGAGUUCCCACACUGUUCAAGAAAGAAAAGGUACAAUUUCAGGUUUCAUUAAGACAGUGCUGACAGAAUCACAGCUGUUACUCUGUUAGAAUCUAUUGAGUCCAAAGUCUAAACAUGUAUAUAUGAAGUCUAAAUAUACAGGAUAUGCAAGUAACAACAAUUAUAAUGGGCAAAUAAACAUUGCACUGCCUGAAUUGCCAUGUCUACAUGGCAUUUAGCAAUGCAAACUGUACAGAAUGGAAAGAAAAUCUGAAGUAAACAAUGAUCAGUCUAUCCAAAUAUAGACUCAAAGAACAAUUUCACAUACAGGCACAACAUCUCGGCCUGGAGAAUGGCGCAACAUCUCUGCCUUGUUUCAGAAUUCAGAAACCAGGUUUGGUGCCUUCCAGCAGUGGGCUACCAUGCACACAGUACGUCCAUACCUAACCAGAUGGGCCAAAUAGAGGCGCAUCACCAAACCAAAUCAAUUUUCAUACUCCGUCCCUCCCAAAUUAUAAACUGUUUCGGUAUUACUAGAUUCAUAAGUUUUGUUACGUACCUAGAUAUACACUGUGCUUAGAUACAUAGUAAAUUCUAUGAAACUAAAAACCGCAAAAUGAUCUACAAUUUGGAACGGAAGAGUAGUAUGCAAGAAAUGUCAAAUGUGCUAUCGACAACCAGGUAAUUUGUUUCUGAAAGAGAGUAGGGUUCAGUUCAGAUAUAAUGCUCUUGGACCAGUGAGCAUCAGCAAGGGGCAAGUUGCCGAUGUCCCAGUCCAAUUCUAUCACACAACUUGCCUACUGGAUCAGCUUAUUUCUUUGUUGGGCAAGCAUAAUUUUCCCCGUAUAAAAAGGCCACACAACCUCAAGAGAAGAUAAUGAGGUAAUACUUGGUGUACAAUACACAUAUAAUUGCUCCGUUCUUCAAUAGACAGUUCAGGUGCAGAACCAGUCCGAAUUUAAGCAAAGACAGUUCAGGUGCAGAACCAGUCCGAAUUUAAGCAGGUUCAGACCAUACUCAGAAAGGUUAUGCUUGAUUAAAAUUCUAUUGAUAAGUAUUUAUACAUUAUAACUGAAGGUAAUACGUUUCCAGAUGGCGUCAAAUUGCUGCUAGUCAAAGCCUCAUAAAAAAGUUUAUUGGCAGAUCUCUUGGACUGUCAUAGUGCAUGCUCCCUGUCCCUGACAUUGUAACCCUGGUGUGAGAUCCUUAAGUAAUCUGUCACUGGAAUCACCAAUCCUAUCCGUAGACAAUUACUUAAACCUAAUUUGAAACAAAUAUUAACUAAAUGGGCCAAAGAAUGUGAAGCUAACUGAAUGCAGUCUGCAGCAGAACUAAGAACAAUGUCAGGGCUGAUUGCUCAUAGGCUGACAGCCACAGCAAAGAAAAAUGUCCCUGCAGAAUGAUCAUGGAACAAAGCUGGGGUUACUUACUAAACACGAAGAACUCUCUCCUUCCAAGCUUCUUGGUUCUUCCGUUCCAAUGCUCUGUGGUACACAUGAAAGCAUCUGAUCAAUUUAUGUGCAUAAUUCAUUUUCCAAUGAACAAGCAUUGGGUUUGCUGGAUGUGGCUCUGAUCAAGUUUCUUCCUUGACAUUUUGUCAAACACAUGGAAUGCACCAGACUUUUAAUUUUAUUGGGUCAAGAUUUUGCAGGGAAAAUUAUUCAAUCAAAGAAACAUUACAAUGGGAAAAUAUGUUGAAUGGGAGAGGAAACAAUAACUUGCAAAUACUGAAUUUCAUGCUAGAGUUGUAAGCCAAUGGCUAGGAAUCAAAUGCAAAUGGCAGUGGUUCAAUUCUAACCAAUUGAAACAUAUGCUUGCGAGGGAACCAACCUUCUUGAAGACAUUGCAAGAGUUGCAGAAGCAUCCCCUGUAAUGACAGAGUGGCACAUGGAGAUUAGAGUUGAAGACAUUGCAAGAGUUGCAGAAGCAUCCCCAUCAAGAUUAUCUUGGAUCGAAGGUUGGCAUCCAUCGGUGUUCCAAAUCUCUAAUCACUGAGAAAAUCUCCAAAAUUAGCAACGCAAUACAAGCACGUUAUUGCACGUUAUUGCAGCGCUGCUGGUGGAGCCGUCCGGGAUCCCCAACCCCUUGAGGUGUUCGCCAACCUUGUUUACAUCCUUGCCGCUGCCGCCAUCGCCUACGUACCCGACCAGAUCAACCACAGAUUAGAUUAGGCCGCACCAGAGACUGCGGGGACUGCGAAGGGAGGGGAAGGACCACAGCAGAUUAGAUUAGAUUAGGCCGCACCACAUAUAGUUAGCUUGCAUCAUAUACCACAACAUUCAAUAUAGUAUGUACAGGCAUCAAAUUAGGAAAGGGAAAAGCAAUCAGAUCUUUUUGAAAAUAAAAGCGAAGAAUGCUGUGUUAAUCAAAACAAAGGGUAAUGAACAUCUGAAGUGAGCUAUGAGCUAACAGAUUAUAUAUUAAAUAUAAUAAGCACAAUUAGGAACGAAAAUUUACUCCAAAGAAUCCAAAAACAAGAACAUAAAAAAAAGCAGAGGAUCAGAGUUCUGGCUUGGUUCUCAAAAGAGAAAUUAUAGCACUCAGUAUGUUCAUUGUCGAUCAUCUGGGGAAAGGGUCAUCAUAUCCUCCGAGGUAUGCAACACAAUUAAGAGAGCUCUUACACAACACCAAAAGCAUAAACUCUGACAAGGGAAAAAGGGAAAGGCAGUAUAUGAAAUUCACUACAGGUCAACAAGAAAAUACAAUGCCGUAUAAACUAUGAAGGAUCAGAAUUCUGGCUUGGUUCUCCGAAGAGAAGUUAUAGAGUACAGUAUGUUCACUGUCAAUCAUCUGGGGAAAGGAUCAUCAUAUCCUCCAUUCAUAUAACGUUAAAUCAUAGGAGAAAACAUCAUUUUAGAUAACAUGUCCAAAAAUACGUUGUCCAGAGAAUAAUUGUGCGGUAGUCCAUGUAGCCAUGAGGUUGUGGUGGCUGAAGUCAUGGAUUCGAUACCCAAUUCUCCUUCUCUCAAAGCCGUAUUCCCAUAUUGACAUGUAAAAGUUCAAUUAAGUAGGAAUGAGAAAAUGUAUGACUACCACUACAUAUUGGUAUAAGCCACCAGCAGCCGCGGGGGCCGAGGGGGCGCGGAGGCGCGCGGGGAGGGAGGUCAGCGCGGACCGCAUCGCCAUGUCGUCGCGCUCGAAUCUGCCUGCGGUGGCCUGGUAGGGUUGAAGGGGAGGAGAGGACGGGGAGGAGAGCCGCCGAUUGGGUCGCAAUCGAGCUAAUGUGGAGGGAGGUCGGGAGAGCAGACGGGAAGAAGGAAAGAAACGCGUGAUUUGCGGGCGGGAUUGGCCGCGGGUACGGCGGGCGGUUGAAAAAUAAGCCAUUCCCCCGCCGCCAUUCCACUCCGCUCCCAUUCCCCCGCCGCCGCAGGAGCGCACUCCCUCCUGCACCCACCGGCGGCCCGCAAGCCCCCCACACCUUCUCCCUCUCCCUCCCCUUCCCCAUUCCUCCGCCUCCCGGCCCCCGCGCGCCCGCGCCUCCCGCUCCGCCUCCGCUCCACCUCCCCGGCCGCCGCCUCCGACCUCACCGACUUCCCCAACCCGAACGGCAUCCUCGCGCCCAUCGACGUGGACGCCGUCACGGAGGCGGAGCUUCGCGAGAACGGGUUCCGGAGCACGCGCCGCACCAAGCUCGUCCGCACCGUGGGCCCGGCCACCUCGUCGCCCGAGCAGCUCGAGGCGCUCGCCAUCGGCGGGAUGAACGUCGCCCGCCUCAACAUGUGCCACGGGGACCGGGAGUGGCACCGGGGCGUCAUCCGGGCAGUCAGGAGGCUCAACGAGGAGAAGGGCUACGCCGUCGCCGUCAUGAUGGACACCGAGGGCAGCGAGAUCCACAUGGGGGACCUCGGCGGCGCCACAUCGGCCAAGGCGGAGGUGAGGUGUUGUGCUUGUAUGUAAGCUGCUGUCCAGUUUUGUACUUGGCGUUGCGGUUUUCAGUUUUCAGAUUGAACGCUUUCACUUGAACGUAUUCCGUGAAAUGUGCUUGUGCAAUGUGGAUGAGAGGAACGGGUGGUGGCAGUGGCAGUGUCAGGCAUUGCAGUUUCAUACUUCUGCAAAACCUAGCGAGUCAGGAUUUCACCAAAAUGUUUUUUUUCCAUCUUCAAAAUGGCUCAGUUGAUUUAGAUUUUCAGCUCAUGUUUGAAAUUGCUAUAGAAGGAGAAUCAUUCAGAAUUUCAGAUUGUCAUCAAACACUGGAUUGUGAAAGUGGUAAUCAUUUUCAAGGCUUUCAAUCUUUCAAAAAAAAAAUCAAGGCUUUCAGUAUCAGUGCAACUCAAAUAAAGUGCAUGGUAAACAUCACCAUGUUUUGGCUUUCUCUGCAUAUAAGACAGGGUGCUGGAGUGGUUCGACCGCGUUGAGGUCCCAAUCCAACCGGUCGGGUUUUUUCUAGGUGUCAAGUUUGAGUGCUUACCCGCAUUGACAUCCCAAUCCAACCGGGCGAGUCUUGUUUAUUUUUCGUUUCUUUUCCUUUUCCUACCUAUGGCCUCCCAGGGCCGUAGUCUUGUAUUUUCUGCUAUAUCAAUACAAACUCGCACGGUUCGUUCAAAAAAAAAGUGAUAGGCAUUGAGGUUCUGAAGGUUGUUUUUUAGAUCUUAGGCCCAAGCCUCAAAUGGCUUUUUUUCCCCUGUUGCAAACCUUCCUUUAAGUAUUGCAUCUAGCACCGGGGAAAACACAGGAAUAUCUUUCAUUUCAGCAACAGAAUCUCUUAUAAAAAGGGCGUACCCAGUGCGAAAGCUCCCACACAAGGUGGGGUCUGGGGAAGGGAAUUCCUAGACAACCUUAUCUUUGCAAUAUUCUUUUAAAAUUCUGCAAAGAGGCUGGUUCGAACCCAGGACCUCCGGGCCACAAGUGGAGAGUUUAAUUUGAAUUAGCUUUAUUAGUAGAAUGCUUGGCCCAUUUAUUGGUAAAUGGUAAAAUUCAUAAAGAUUAUCCUUAUUCCGUUAAUCAAUUUUAGGUGUUUAACUUGCAGCAAAUUCGAACAAUGACAGACAUGCAGCAUAUUGUUAGUUCAUCUGUAAGACUUAGCUUGCUGGUUUAAUGCUUUGUUAAAGGUUUGAAGUUAAUGUGUCUACUGGUAGCUACUGAAUCUCUUUAUAGUUUAUUUAUAUCUUUUUUCUUUAUUAGUAUAAAGCCAUGUAGAAGUUUUCAGAAUACUGAAAUUUCUAGUGUUCGUUUUGUGGAGUCUCUCCACCUACAUCCUUUUUUACAACUGCAUUUCAGAUCCUUCAGUUAUAGCAUGAAUAUUUUUUUAAAAAGAAACUUCUAGGUCUAUUCUUGCCCGUAAUUAAUGUUAGUGUCUGAUGAUAGUUGUGUUUUAGAUAAUACAUUAAUAUUAGUAAUCCAAAGAAACUGAACUACUUCUAUGAUUCUAAGGCCCUGUUUGGCAUGGCUCCAACUCCGGGUGGAGCUGCUCCACUCCAGAACUUCACAUGGAGCCAGCUCCGCUCCAAAACUCCAGAACAAAAAUGAGGUGUUUGGCUAGAUGGGUGCUCUCAGCUCCAAAAAAAAUCGAUUUCAGUGUGGAUUGCCAUUGUUGCCCCCCAAUUAAGGCACCACUUGUCAUCCUCUCUAUCCCAUCUUCUUCUUCCCCUUUUUCCACUGCACUGUGCCGCACACGGGAGACCCUCCAUGGGCGGCGGGGUGGGUAGCGACGGGGCGGCGGGUGGCGACGGGCGACGACAGGCGGCGGGGUGGGUGGCGGCGGGCGGCGACGGGCGGCCGGCGCGGCGACGGGCGCGGCGGUGGGUGGCGGCGGGCGACGGGCGCGGUGAUGGGCGGCGACGGGCGACGGGCGGCGGCGGGCGGCAACGGGCGGCGGCGGGCGGCAACGGGCGACGGGCGACGGGCAGGGCUCUGGCGGCGAGUGGGGCUCGGGAGAAUAGAAGGGAGAAUAGAAUGAAACGUUUUUUUGUGUAACCAGUGGCAUUGGUGGGUAAUUACCCACCAACUCCACGAUAAGGUUCGAAAGAGAGGUUUCUGGAGCAGCAAAAGAGGUGCUCCAAAACUCCACCUGCAUUUGCACUACAGCUCCAUGGAGUUGGCAACUCCAUGGAGUUUUGGAGUUGGGGUGUUUGGCUGAAUUUUUUGAUGGAGUUGCUGGAGUUUAGGAGUGGAGCCGUGCCAAACAGGACCUAACUGUCAUCAGUGCUAGCUAGGGUCACUAUGCCAAAAGGAGAUUAUAUCACCAUUCGGCUGUUUAUCUUAAGUUUUUAACCAUACAGUCAGAAGUUUGAUUGUACACCUAUUCAAUAAUCCUAGGUUUUCUUGAGCCACGUUAUUUACCCAAUGACUUCCAUUUUUCUUGGAAUUAAAACAUUUCUGAAGUAAUUAAUAAAUCAUCUCACAUUUGUUGGAUUCCACAGGAUGAAGAAGUCUGGACAUUUAGUGUUAGGUCAUUUGAAUUGCCUCUCCCAGAACGAACUAUUAAUGUGAUUAUGACGGGUUUGCUGAAGGUAUAUAAGCUGACCUAUUUGUUGAUAUCUUUCGCUGUUAUUGUUCACUGCCAUAAUUUUGCAUCAAAAUCCUACACAGAUGUGAGAGUUGGUGAUGAGCUUCUUGUGGAUGGUGGAAUGGCUCGGUUUGAGGUGAUUGAGAAGUUGGGACCAGAUGUUAAGUGUCGCUGCACGGAUCCUGGUUUAUUGUUGCCACGUGCGAAUCUUACAUUCUGGCGUGAUGGCAGUAUUGUCCGUGAGAGGAAUGCUAUGCUUCCUACAAUUUCAUCAAAGGUAAAUGCAGUAGCAUAAUAAAUUUCUUGCUGCAAUUACCAAAAGACCGCAAAACUUUGUUAAUCUAUGCCCCCCCUUGGUACUAGUAUUGCAAUGGAUUUACAGCUUGUUUUUUCUGUCAAUGCCAUGGUCAGUUCAAAACAACAUGUAUUAGUUCAAAGCCUUACAUUGUGCACUGAAACUCAUCUCUCGAUAGUUUUUGUCAGCUAUUUCUUAAGAAGGCUUCUACCACCUAGAGUUGUUUAACUGAAAAUUUAAUCUUCUAGUAGCAGAUACUAAUAUUUUAAGUUUAUAACAAUGCUGCUCCUUUUCUUGUGACAACUUGUGCAGGAUUGGCUUGACAUAGACUUUGGAAUUGCCGAAGGUGUAGAUUUCAUCGCUGUUUCAUUUGUCAAGUCAGCAGAAGUAAUUAAACAUUUUAAAAGCUACAUAGCUGCAAGGAGCCGUGGCAGGUACCAGGAGUAUAAUUCUGUACUGUUAUUUAAGUUUAUGCUUUCUUGGAAAAGCCAUAUUUGACAUUAUUAAACUGAUAACGGGUGUUCCUAGAACUGUUCUGCAUGCUUAGCCACUGUUUGUGGUUGGUUCCUGGUCAGUCCCAGAUGAUUACUCAUACUGGUAGGGUUUUAGUUGUAUUCUAACCCCCAAAAAAUCAGCCUGGAAUAUAUUGGUUUCUAUGUAGUUACUAGAGAAAACAGUGAAUCAACAAGAUAUCCCCUUUCUGGUGUUCCUCCUUUUCUAAAUAAUGCUGUGGAACAACAUGAUUCAUGGAAGAAUAAUAAGAACUGUUUAAAAUUGUUUGGCUUUCCUCAACCUGGUGUCUUCUCUGUGCCAAAAAAACAACACUUGGUGUCAGGUGUCAUCUCAGCACCUACAAUUCAUCUGCAUGCACUAGAAAAAUUGUGUGUGUGUAGCUCCUGCCAAAAUUGCCAGUUUGCCAUUGUACGUCCAUCUCAUGUUUUGUGGCUAAAACUCAGUUAGUGACACAAAAAGUUACCUAGAUUAAAAUCGCUAAUCCCAAACCGCAAGUGAUACCAAUCUUGCUAUGUUAUCUUUUAUACUUCAAUUAAUUGGGCCUUGCAAACAUCUAAAUCAGAAAGGAUUGCUAGUACCGUGUUUCUGAAAUGUUUCCUUCAUUUUGCUGAACUUUGUUGGUUCCUUACUCUAAUAAUGCUUUAUUUUAUAUGAUCAGUGAUAAGCAGUCAUUGCGAAAAUUGAGAGCAUUGACUCUUUAAAGAACCUGGAGGAGAUCAUCCGAGCAUCAGAUGGUGCCAUGGUAGCCACUCUGGAUAUGGGGGCACAGGUUCCCUUGGAGCAGGUCCCCUCAAUACAAUAAAAGAUAGUUCAACUGUGCAGGCAGCUCAACAAGCCAGUCAUUGUUGCUUCUCAGCUCCUUGAAUCAAUGGUCGAGUAUCCUACUCCCACAAGGGCCGAAGUUGCCGAUGUUUCUGAAGCUGUCCGCCAGCGUGCGGAUGCUCUAAUGCUUUCUGGUGAGUCAGCAAUGGGAAGAUAUCCAGAGAAGGCUCUUAGUGUUCUGAGGAGCGUUAGCCUCAGGAUUGAGAAGUGGUGGCGGGAGGAGAAGCGACAUGAGGCACUGGAACUUCAAGGUGUUUCAUCUUCAUUCUCUGACAAGAUAUCAGAAGAAAUCUGCAACUCGGCAGCUAAAAUGGGUAAGUACUGCCACCAUCGUAUUCAGUGCAUACCAUAGUUAUGUUGUCAUAGCAACUGAUAUAGCAGCUGACGCCAUCUUUGUUUUCACAAAGACUGGCCACAUGGCCUCCUUGCUCUCACAGUGCCGUCCUGACUGCCCAGUUUUCGCCUUCACAACAUCGACGUCCGUCAGGAGGCGGCUAAACCGUCAGUGGGGCCUCAUCCCAUUCCGCCUCAGCUUAGCAACUGAUAUAUUCAAUUGCUUUGCUGUUUCAUCUUCCUAUUAUUGUCCAUUAUCUUGGUUACUGACAGAACAUUUAGAUUCCAUUUUCUUAGAAGCUGUGUCUAAACAAAACCAAUUUCAUCUGCAGCUAACGGCCUGGGAGCUGACGCCGUCUUUGUUUUCACAAAGACUGGCCACAUGGCCUCCUUGCUCUCACGGUGCCGUCCUGACUGCCCAGUUUUCGCCUUCACAACGUCGACGUCCGUCAGGAGGCGGCUAAACCUUCAGUGGGGCCUCAUCCCAUUCCGCCUCAGCUUCUCAGAUGACAUGGAGAGCAACCUGAACCGCACCUUCUCCCUGCUAAAGGCCAGGGGCAUGAUCCAGUCUGGCGACCUGGUGAUCGCCCUCUCUGACAUGCUGCAGUCCAUCCAGGUGAUGAACGUACCCUAAGAAAGAGCCUAAUCCUCUGUGGGAUGAUCAUAUGAGAUGGAAGAUGGACCAUGAACUUUAUCGGCACCUUGAAGGACAGUUCCUUGCACCAAAAUUAUUCGCUUUCACCCUGUAUUAGAUGCUGGGCAGGACUAGAGAACUGUGGCAAUAAUUUGCAGCUUUGUGCCCUGCUGUAAAACUGUUAUAUUACUAUUAGCUUUAUUUAUAGUCUGACCUUGGGGUGACUCUUUAAUGUGCAAGCUUUGGGUCUUGCUGUGGGCCGUAAUGGGCUUAUAAGUGAAGCGCAGGGAGAAGAGGAAGAACCCGCUGAAGAACAUGGCUGCUGUGCUCAAGCUCAACCCCUACCUCGGCACUGCCCGCAAGAUGGCUACCCUCGCUAAGGUUGCCCACAUCAAGGCAAGGAAGGAGAAGCUCGAAUCCAAGAGGACCAAGCUUAGCCCGGUAUGACCAUUUUUCUCCCUCCAUUUCAUUUCUGAUUAUGUCAAUAAUACCUGAAUUGAUCACUUAGAUUGCUCAUGUAGUUCUGGUGUACUGUUUAUGACUUGUAGUGUUUGCUAUGGUACAUUUUCUGCCCCUUGUAUGAAUGGUUUAAUUUGUUUGAUGUAUCAUAAUUUGAGCAAAUUUCAUUGCUUGAAAGUAUUAGUACUGGAGUUCUGUGUGAAUAACAUGAUUCUGCUGUAGUGAUUCUUGUUGGGGUUUAGUUAUGUGCAUUGAUCUAAUGUUGUGCCAACAAAUAUUCUUGUAAUUGCGCGUUUGUGCUGUAUCAGUAUGCAUGGGUAAUCUAGUUUGUCAUUGUUUACUAUUUGCUCAGGGUGUUUCGGUACCCUUAAUUGCUUUUAGUAAGGCAUUUGUCUAUGUUCUGUUCCAUUUCUUUAUAUGCUAGUAGAUAUCUGAGCAAUUGUUUGUUCUACUCUUUUCUUAGAAAUGAUUUAUGGUACUGGAAGCUUCGGUAAUCUUUGCAUAUAUGGCAUAUGACAUGCCCUGGUAACUCAUGGGUCAGGGUUUAUCUUGAAUGUUUUAGUUCGAUCCCUCUUGUUGAUUUGUGUUCUGAAUUGGUAACUUGGGACUAUGCCUUGUUAGAAUGUGAUGAAUAGAUUGAUGUUUUACUAAGCGUUUUGAUUACAGAAUACUAGAAUGAAUGUUAUUACAUUAUCCAUGUUUCGAACUGAAUCCCAAAAUUUACUGAAUCCCUUCACAUCCAUAUAUCUCCUGAAUAUUUGUUUAACUGUAUAGUUUGAUAUGUUUACAUUGUUGUCAAGAUUCUUUGUUGCAUGCCCAUAUAUCUUCUGAACACUACAGAACUGACCAAUAUGUGAACUACUGUUGGUUUAAUGUAUCAGAUGCUGAUUAUUUCGUUCAGCUGUAUGCCCUUUUGUCAACAAACACGUACUGAACAAUAUCUGUAGAUCCAUUGUUGUAGGAGGAGGCUGCCAAGGUCAAGGCUGCUGGAAAGGCAUGGCACAGGACCAUGAUCUCAGACAGCGACUACACCUGAGUUUGAGAACUUCUCAAAGUGGCUCGGCGUGACUCAGUGAGCGGGUGCUAUCUAGUUAAGUUUUGAGUAGUAGUGUGGCUGAACUUAUCUCGAGAGGGUUUAUCGCUUUGUUUUAUCCUGCAUCAUCAUAAGAAUUCAAUCUGUGGGAUUUUAAGACAAGUCUUCCUUUUUGUUAAUGCGUUGCUGUGAAAUCAUUCUAGUAAAUAUUCACCUUGACGAUCUUUUGGAAGGACAGCGACCACAAAAAUUAUGAAUUGGGUAGAUGGAGGAUUUAUGUGCUGUAUUGAGAGAGCCCGUAGGUGCUAGAUUUCUCCGGAAACGUUCGAUUUAAGCUUGUAGAUAUUGUGAUGAAUCCCGUCACCAUUUUCCCAUGAAACAUUCUGAAAGUUCUGGUAGUGGUAUCCACUGCUGCAGUUUUACAAGCAUGUAGGGUUGUUCCUCUGUUUGUUGAUUAGGUAUUAUGUUUUGCACAGUCUUAAAGUUUAGAAGGUAAUUACCCAGGUGUUCAAGUAUACCUUCAAGUUUUUUUUUACACAGUGUACAUAUUACCUUGUUAUAGUGAGAACAGAGAAGUCCACCGCAAAAGUAAAGCCUAGCAUAUAUUGUUCUUGCAAUAGACCAUGUGUGUAUAUGCCCCUUUGUAGGUUGAUUAUUCCAUUCAGAACAUAGCAUGGACCUCUAUAGUGUUUUGGAUAAAUUUUUUUAUUAUAAAGGUACUUGCCGAGGCACCAAUUUGGGAGUCUGCGGGGUAAAAUGUUCCCGGCGUACUUCAUAUUGAUAUCAGUGUGUUCAGCGAUAUCUGUUGCAGCAUUUGCAUACCUGCAUGGAUUCCUUCUUUCGGCCCUUAUCUGUAACCUUUCAAACCUUCUGGUCAUCACACCUAUGAUGGUUGAAGUAAAAUACUUUGUUUGUGGCCUUGAGCUUUUUACUACCUCUCGUUUUGCAUUUGCCAGAUGCUAGUGUGCUAGUUAUACAGAAUAUCACAAAAUUAUAGUUUGAGUAUGUGAUAAUAUCGUUACUAAUGAAUGGAAUCUUACACUUUUUAUAUGCAAUUUUGAGAUUUACUUUGCUGAUGGUAGUAGAGGUAUGUAAAGCAAAAGAAAGUUACUUUUAAAUUAUUAGUUAUAUGGUUAUAUUUUAUAGGUCAGCGAUUUCUGAGUACUAGUCAUAGCAGCGCUCACAGGAAUAUACUGACUUGUUCUUUAUUUUAUUUUCAAGAAUUAAUACAGAUAGCAUAAAGCAGAAUCCAGUCCAUGAAUAGUUAGCGAUCUAGCAUCUGGAGGUGAAAAUCUAGCUUGGUUAGAACUUAGAAGCAUAGUUGUGGAUAAAAUUUGUGGGAAUCUAAUUUGACAAAACAAGUAGACAUGUCUGGCUGCAUAUAUGAACCUUUCAAACUGCAUCUUAUUGUUUCUGAGAUCUGAUUGGUGAUUUUUCCACAUUUGCAUUGUAGCACACAUCACUUGGAUAUUGUUUUAGAGAGCAAACUUGACAAUCGAGAUAUCUUGAUUGCUGAAAUCGAUGCUGACAAUGUUCUGUUAUUUGAGUAGGAUAGGGGUUAUACAUAAAAAAAAUAAGAAGAGAGAAUGUGCCUUGCAGGCUUGUACUUUGGUUGGUUGAGCAUUGCUCUUUGUAGUUUGCGCUUUCAUUUUCACCCGUGCCUAUUGAAUUGCUCUCUUUCACCUAGAUGAUGAUGAAGAGGUACAAGAUAGAAGGACCUCGUGAGGCCGGGUACUCCAAGAAUGAGGAGAUGGCCAAGAGGAACCCUGCCCUGGCGGCAAUCAGUCAGAAGUUCAGGAUGAUCCACGUGCUGUCGUCACUGGCCAGCCCCAUGUCCUUCGGCAGCCUGGCCAUCCACUCCUGAUACCUCCCCAGCAAGCUCGACCCGUGACUGCCUGACCGAGUGUUAGCUGGUGCCUGGUGAGUGGUGACCUACGAACUCUGAACUUAGCCUAGGUUUCUGUGGAGAAAAAAGAAGUCAUGUCUGUGCAAGAACAUUGGUCCUCGGGAUGAUAUGAUUAGCCUUUAAUAAUGUACAUAAUGCAGGAACUUCGUUUCAUUUUGUAAUUUGUCUAUAGGAAAUGUGUCUGGCAAAUUCCUAGAUUUUACAGCCAAGAAAUGCAGCUAAACAUGGUCUCUCGGCUCAUGGAGCUUGGGUAUAAAGAAAUGACUAGGAUCUUCUGCAACUUUUAGAAUGCCUACUAUCUGAAAAAAAAAAUUGGCCAGAGAUGACGAGUUUGGUAUGCAUUCCUGAACACUGGUUUCUCUUGUCUGGUGGUCCAAAACCAUAUGGCGUUCCUUCAUCUAGGCCAAAUCUAUUAUAUUCACUUUCUGAAGAUAAUAUCCAGUGAAGCCAAGCCGAAGUCUAGAAAACAAGUCCACAUUGCAAACUGAAGAAUUUAGCAUAUGGAACUCCAUGCUCUAGUCUUUCAUCCUUCUUCAAGCUGAAGUCCUUGAUUUUGAUCACAAAACAAGUCCCAGACUGCAAGUUGAAGAAUAUAUAGCAUAUUGAUCGAGCUCCAUGCUCCAGCUUUUUAUCCUUAUAUUUUCUUUUGAACUAUGGCGUGUUUGAACUCAGUGUCCGCUCCAGCGUAAGCAAAACACAUACACAGCUAGCACUUUCAUUUCAUGACGUGUUUGUCUACAUUACUGCAGAAGUACUUGCCAUAGAAUAGGUCAACAAUCCAACAUACUACUACUCAUGUUGUUGUUCGACAAGCUGUCUAAGCUGCUGCUUGAAUACGAACUGAAAGUGCUGAACUUUGUCCAUGUUAUGUUGGUAGUAUAUCUAAUACUGAACGGUGUGCAGGGUGAUCCUGCAAGGCUUUUAGAUAGCACGGUCUUGUGCAGAGGUAUUGUCGAGCUCUGUUUCUUCAAAGUUACGUCUGCUCUGUUUCUUCAAAGUUACGUCUUGCAAUUGCAGUAACAUUUCUGCUGGUAAUUCUGUAAUCUCUACUAUAAAAAAAGCAAAGAGGACACAAAAAUGCGGUCCGUCGUUUGGCCGCCGGGCGAUGUCCCUCGCUCCAUUUUGGGCCGUCCGCUUGCAGCAGCCUCCGCGUGCAGCCGUUGACCUGGAGAUUCCGUGAGUUGCGGCCCACACGUUUCCUCCUCUGUCCGUUUCCCUCCUCGCGGAUCCCUUCCUCCUGCAGUCCUGCCCAUGCGUCGCCAUCCGCCGUCGACGCAACUCCCUCAGUCGCGUCGCCUGCCGCCGCCACUCCCUCCGUCGCCGCAACUUCUCCCUCCCUGCAUCGUUAGGCCUGCGUCGCCAUCCGCCGCCGCCCCUCCCUUUCCUCACCUCCGCGCCGCCAGAAACCCCCGCCCCUGCCUGCGUCGCCAUCUGCCACCGCCCCUCCCUUUCCUCGCCUCCGCGCCGCCAGAAGCCACCGCCCCUCCCUUUCCUCGCCUCCGCGCCGCUAGAAGUCACCGCCCCAUCCUGAGUCGCCUCAUCGCCGCAAGCGACUCCGCCCCUCCCUGAGUCGACGGAACACCGACAGUCGAGGCUACGCUGCACGCCAACUAGAUUUCUCAGUUCGUUGGGUUUGAUCACGGUACCUCUCAGUUUCUUAGUUUGUCAUGCAUCUGAACUUUGUGUGACGUUCAUGUUCUUGUCAUUUGAUUUGUUUGGUCGGUGUUCAUGUUCUUAGAAUCUGGUGCUACGUGACAUUAUAGGCGGUGUUGUGUUUUCUGAAUUGUCGGCGACUUGAAAAUUUGAGAUUCAGAUCGUGAUUUGUUUAGGUGGACAAUUAAAAUUUGAUGAUAUGUCCUUCCCGAGAGAGAAACGUAUUACCUGUGGUAAUUGAGGAUGGUAGAGAUAAUUUACUCUGCAUGUAAACUGAGGACUGAGAUUCAAGAGUAAUCAUAGAACACGUAGACCACAUUGACUGGAAAAUUAGUCCUCUCCAAUUUUUGCUGAUCUGUCCCUGAUAGUACAUAAUUAUUUUGCCACUUUUUGUGCAAGCUUAUCGAUGUACGAAUUAAUAAUGGAAAGUAAGGAUUGCGAUAGUAGGGAUUGGGACAUUUGUUAUGCUUAUCGAUGCUUAUGGCAAUGCUUCAUAAAAGUAGUAUACACCGCCGUGCACUUCGAAUUCAUGAUGGACAGUAGGGAUUGUGAUAUGUGAUAUGCUUAAGGCAAUGCUUCAUAAAAAGAGUAUGCACCUCCGAGCACUUCAAGUGUACUCUGAUGCACACACAAGCACACAGUUCUAGAUGGUUAAGCCGGUCUGUGAUUAGCAAGAUUUUCAUGAGAAUGGUAUCAGUUAUCAGACAUUCUGUGAUAUCUUGAAUGGAAAAAUAAAAUCAAAAAGGAAAGCACGAUAAAUAGAUAAUUUUUCUUGAAUUCUCCCAUAUUCAGAAAAUUGACUGACCGAGUGUGGAUAAAUCCUUUUUUUUGUUACUUGGACCUCAGUUGGCCUUUAUAUUACUCUGAAUAUGUAAGAUCUCAAUAAACAGUAAAUUUGAGGAGGAUUUGCUAUCAUCUUUUGAAUCGUUCAUCCCGGUGGCAGAUUUCUUGAUUGCCUUAAUUGGGGCUGCCCCAGUUAAUGAGAACUAAAUAGCUCUCAUGAUGAAAACAAGUGUUAUUCAUAACAGCUACUUGUAGUGAUGGUGUCUGGCAGAGUACCUUGCUUAUCCAGUGCUUUCCUGUGACAUUCCAUUUUGCUUUUCUCUUGAAGGGUGUUUAUGUUCGUCGGGUUGUGCCUACUGCUCCAGCAAGCAGUGUUUUGUGAAAGGUAACAUGUAGUAAUUAGAUCCAGUUCACAUAUUGAAUACCUUUGGUUGUCCUCCAAUUUUUGCUGAUCUAUCCCACAUAAUUUUUCUUCUUUUUUCCACACAAUUUUUCUUCUUCUUGCCACAUAAUUUUUGCGGCUACCAUGUUUGACAAUAAAAAUUGGUAUACAGUCAUCUACAAAAAUCAUCCCCUGGAUACAAAUAGUACAUCCCCCUGGUACAAAUAGUACAUCCCCCUGGUUAGCAAUUUUGCAGAUGUAGAAGUACAGUUCCAUUACCGGUUAACCACUAUCUACGUUCUUAUUUUCACUAGGAGUUACAUUAAAAUAAUUCAUUCAUAUGUUCUGUAUAAAGGAAUAGACAAAAAUGGCACCACUUUGUUUUACCUAUGUACAAAUAACUGUCUGAUUGGAUAUUACAACAACAAACAAGAAGAGGCGCUUCAUGAUCAUUUGAUUUAGAACUACAACCUAAAAAAUAAAUGGUCUGUCCAGUUAUUAAUAUUCUGGUUUCAUACUGCAACAUAGAAAAGUGAUUAAAACAAGCCCAAGUAAUCUGUCCUGCUGCACUUUCUUAUCUAUAAUCCUGAUGCCAAUUUGUUUCAUGUGCCUGGAAGUGAUGGGAGAAGGUGCAGGAGAAGGAUUUAGAAGUUCUUAAUUUGCAGGUGCAAUUUUUUUAUGUGACGCAUCUAUGUGACGCUUGACUUAUCUUAUUUCCAAAAUCAAACACUUCAUACUCGUGCUAAUGAUUAGAACCUGAUGAUUGGGAAGCUGAUGAGGAUGUCGAUCUCGAGACGGCUAAUGAAGAUUCCAACGAACCCGAUGUACCGGAUCCAAACGAUGCGGUUUAUGCUAAUGUCCCUGACGAGACGCACAUGCUCAAGCUAGAGGAUAACUGCAAGCACUGCAAUGCAAAGAAGUUUGAGUCCGAGCCACCUGAAUUCUGUUGUCAUAGACACCACCGGAACUCGUGAGACUGUGGUUGAGCUCGGACGCUGAUGCUAGGCAUUUCCGUGCAAACAUCAGAUAUUUCAAUGAACACUUCUCUUUCACUUCUCUAUACUGUAAACUUGAUCGUGUGACCACCGACAUGACAAACUGUGGAAUUUACACAUUUCAUGCCCAUGACCAAAUCUACCAUAACAUAUGAUCAUUUGGUAAAGAGGAUGGUCACGAACCUGGACACCUCGAGCUUUAUUUUUACGACGACGAUCUGUCUCUUCAGCAUAGGCUCCGCAAGUGCCGUGAGAAGUCUGCCCAAGAAGAUAGGAGGUCAUCUAGAGGCUAAAGGACAUCUUACAUGGCAUUAAUCCCUGCUUAGAGAAUCUUAGGAGUAUAGGCCAGGUUGACAACCUUGAGGAUUACUAUGUCGAGUUGAACCUUGACCAACGGCUAGACCAGAGAACAUAUAAUGUGCCAUUAACGUCGUUGCUGCCGUUUGGAUUGAGGGGAGCGAGCCUCGGGGCCAGUUCGAUAAUAGUGUUGUCCUCCAAGGGAAGGAUAGGUCGAUCCAUGGUAUUCGGCCCUAUCGUGUGUGCUACGAUGCUCUCUCAUACCCGCUAUUCUUUCCAAGAGGUGAGCUCGGGUGGCACAAUUGCAUUCCAAAAGUUGGUGUGACUGAGGUUGAAGUAAAUAAAGCUCGAGCGAUCCGCAAGGCGCGUGCUGAUGGUGGUGGCGACAAUGAUGCUGGUAAAUUCAUAUGUCUUUAUAGUGUCUUACAAACAUUAGACAAAUUUUCCGCAUGUCGUCAAUCACGGCCGCCUUUUUUUGGUUCGUCGUUUGGCUUCGUUUGUCUGCCUCGCCGCUCAGUUUUUCUCAAGAACAGUCCGUCUCCCCGCCCACGUUCGCCGACAGACGCACCUCACCUCCUCCGUGCUGCACCCGGCCGCACCUCCUCCAUCCGCCCUCCGCCACUUAGCCAAGCCGUGCCUCACCUCCUCUGUCCUCCGAGCGCGGAACCACGCCCGCGCUUUCCCCGCCCGGCCGCACCUCCUACCUGCUACGCUCGGCCGCAGCUCCUCUGUCCGCCGCCAAGACGGGCCACCUCCGUCCGCUGGGCGUCCAACACCGGCGCGCCACUGCCCAGCUGCCCCUCCACACCCCUCCACACCGGCGCCAUCCCCGGCUGCUCCUCCAUGAAGGGAUCUCCAAAUUAGUCCCAUAUGCAGCGGAGGUGAGAAGAUGGAGGCACGAGAGGUGGGGCCUAUCUCGAGCCCGGUGUCAUCUGCCUUCAUGAAGGGAUCUCCAGGUUAGUCCCUUAUGCAUGCAAACAAAUCUAAUCAGCAGCCUCUCCUUUGCACCAACGAACAGAUCCAAUUGUUCUUGAAAAUCAGGUCCAAGUUCACAUCUCUUUUGCCCUCCCACUCAAAGCACAAUCAGCCAGCGCGACAGGGAUGGCGACACAGACACCGACGGCUGGAGCUCCCUCAAUGCUGCCAGGUAAUUGACUAGCCAAUUACUAUUUGGAUGUGAUGCACAUUGGUCACGGAUUUGUAAAUCUAUCAGUUCCUGCUUCCUGCAUCCAUUUGUGCAGUUCUUGUGGUGGAUGCAGUGCACUGAGUAUAGAAAUUAUUUUUGAUUACUUCUGUGAAACGUUUUGGCCUUGGCAAGUAUGUACAGAUUUAGUUGUUGUUUUUUCAGUCAGAGGUGAGCUACGUGUAUGGGAAAGAAAAACUUGAUUGCUUGUUCUAGAUCUUGCCUUCAUAUAAACUGUGAUGCUAUCAACAUGGAGAUUUGAUGCAUUCUACUCUCUCUCUAUUUAACAUGGAAAAGAACUCGUGUUUACUCAAUAAUGCUUAUGAAUUUUCCUUAGAGUUGCAUUUAUUCAUCAUUCUAAAGUAUUCCGUGUCAAGUAAACUCAUACUUCUAAUUUUUCAAAAAAAAAAUCUGAAAUCAAUGAACCCCUCCUUCCUUGUGAAAUUGUUGUACCUUUUUUCUUAUGACAUCUUAUCUACUUCCACUUUCCUGGUGCAGAAUUUUUGAAAGUAGGAAACGUAAGCAAUGACAGUGACAGUCGCAGCAAUACUGAGCUCAAUAGGUGAACUAGACAAACCAUUCUGCUGUAGUUCAUUUUAUCACUGCAGUCAUCGUCAGACAAUGAGGUCAGAACCAGCAGGUUCGCAGAGUGACUUGUGACUUGUGGAUAAUCCUGCAGAUUCAACAAUGGUAAAGUAACGAAUGGUUAAGGUAUAAGUAGAUUUACUCAAUUAUACUCCAAUAGCUAAUGCAUUGCAUAUAUUGCUUGGCCGUGUAUAUAAAUAUUACAUCACUGUUCAACAUAAGUAAAUAGCUUAGUCCUUCUUAAGUCCAUUUUGGUAAAAGCUAUAGUUCAAUUAGUUUUCUUGAUUUUCUUAAAAUUUUACUCAAAGUUUGUGCCUUAUGUUGUACAUUUGCCUCACGGGCUGGCUAACUGACCUACAUGAGGCUGGCCAACUGAUCUGGAGGUUCACUAUCUAUGUUCUUUCAUUUCAUUGUCAAACAUAGAUAUUCUAAAUCUGAAAGUCUGUCGAAAUUUCCUAUGGAGUCUUGUGGUACCUUUAGUGUUUCUUAUCAUGUCCAGUAGAAGGUCUUGGAAAACAUAUUUGCAAUACAUGAUAUUUUUUAAAUCAAAAGUAGUAAUAUGCUGUGUAAUUGCCUUCUUGCCUCCUGACAUGUGGCAAAUUCAUUGAGCGUUUUCACUUACAUCGCUGGCAUAUUCAGUGAACAACGCAAAGAUGAUGGUUUUGAGUGAGAGGUCCUUUGGUCAAGGUAAUUUCAGAGCAUUGAUUUUCAAUGUACUUGUAAACCCAAGAGAAAGUUGAGCAGGCCACAUUCAGUUGUUAACUGGACUGUUGGCUUGCUGCUAUGGCAACAUGUUUUCAGCCUUAUUAUUACUUGCCGAGUUUACAUUGGGAUCUGAAAACUGGACUGUGUGCCAUUAGUUUUGUCUGUCUCCAGGACAUUGCCCAUGCACAUGAACUGACUGAUUACCAUGAAAAUUCACCUGUUUCAGUUCCAAACUAAUUAUUGCUUCAAGGUCACAAAGCUAUAUGAAAAUCUGUAUCCAAUUGAAUGCCGGAACUCUCUAGGAUGAUGUCAGGCAUUCCCAUUUAUAGGUUAACCUGAAGUGAUUCUUGAAGAUUAGUUUCUGCGUGGUUGAUUUGAAUUGUUUGUAAUAUUGUAUGCUUCAUCUUGAUUACUAUCAAUUUCACAGGUCAUGUUCAUUGUGAGGAAUGGAGCGCAAUAAUGCUUUGUGGUAACUCUGGGCAGACGAAAAUAGGCCACCUCUACCAUUUUCUUGAUAUUUAUUUUCUGAUAUCUGACUAUUGUAUUUGUCGUGAAAUUUAAAUUGUAGACGCUAUCAGAUCAUGUGUCACUUCAUGCUUUGAUCAUGUGAAAAAAUUCAGUGUAUUUACCCAUGAUCGGUGCCUUGCCCCGAGGGGUCUUUAAUUCCUGGAGGGGUCUUUAAUUCCUGAAUUAGGCAACGGUGAAUUUUCUUCUUAAUAUAUAGAUGCGCAGCUCUCCCGCAUGUUCGAGAAAAAUGAGGCAACAGUGACACAGCGCUGGUAGAAAGUAGAAAGUGAAGAAGCGGUUUGAGCAUAUUGCUACUGACAGCUACCUCCGCAAGAUUUGGCCGGUACUGCAAGCUCUGAGUUUCACAACUCUGAACCACUUGGUAAAAAACAGUCUGAAUUUUGUGUUGUGAUUAACUGACUAGACAUCCGAAUAAAUUAAUGUACUGAUAUUCUGAAAUUUGUUUUAGCACUGGGACUCUCUGGACUAUCCGGUGGAAUCAGGCCUUGGCAGGACUGAGGCAGAUGUGGGGGGUGACACCGUGCAGGUGAGGUGGUGGUGGUAUCUGGCUCUGGCAUCUCCCUUUAUCCGCUUGAUGGAAUGGCAGCAUGGGUAUGGAGACACCUUCAGCAUCUAAACAAAGCCCAAAAGGUACAAAGAUACUAUUUAAUCACUUUUGAUUUGUUAAUUUGCUAUCAUAUAAAUUGCAGUAACAGGUCUUGAGUAAUAUGUCAAUGCUAUAAUUUUGCUUGCUUGUUGUGUGUCCUCUCUAAAAUCUUUUCUUUACCAUAUAUAUCCAUAUGCACAAGAUAUUUGCAGUUACAAGUAUAAUCCUCAAGGAGUGAAAAGCUUGUGAUUCUGUCCGUGCAGGCAACAGGCAUUGAUCGCUAAUCAGCAUGGCCUCCACAAGUACCCAUCAUGGGAAGUGCAGCAACCAGUAUUGUGUUCAAACCUGAAGAAAAUAUAUGGGGAUGGCUGGGUGGCUGCACAGCUCAUGGCAGGGACCAAUUUGGAGUCUGCAUCUUCUUUCCCAUAUAUAUAUGAUAUUUCCAUAUACUGUCAGGAUGCUAUUAAACUGCCUUCACCAGAUUACAAUAAACUGUGAACUUCAGAACUUUAAUUUUCGAUAAGUUGGAGUCGACGCUUAAAACUUCAGAGCUUUAUUUACUCCUAUGUACCAACAGCUCUAAAUUUUUGUGCACUGCACCCUUAGUUUUUUAGUGAACAAUACUGAUUGCUGAGGUUAUAAUGCAUCUUUCUAUGUGGGACUAUAGUUUUGUCAAGUAAGGCUAUGUACACAUUGAUAAAUCUGCUUCAGAAUAAUAUUGCUAAUAUCUCACUAUCUGAAGAAAGUCAGGUUUAUCAGUUAUUUAUAGAAGACUUGCUUGUUAGAAAGGACCUAAAUAGGUUUUCUUUGUCUAUGUGAAUUUUCGGGGAAUUCUGCUUAUCUUCCACGGAUAGAUGCUACUUCUCCUGUAAUAUUGAAUUGGGUCAUGUGUGUGUCAGCUCUUUGCUUGCCAAAGGAGCUUGUGACUUGCAACUACUACUACUUAUUCAAUGAUCUCUAAUAAUUGAAUCAUUUUGUUCAGAUUCUAAUUAUCAGGUCUUUUCCUCAUCUCUUUAUGUUUUGAGGUGUUGGAUGAGAAAGGGUUAAUGGUGGUUGCUACCAUUCUACAAGAAAUUAGAGAUUGUCAUUAUGAGUGCUGUAGUUGAAGUGGGGUUAAUGUUAAACCAUGAUGGUACCAAGGAGACUUCAUCCAUUUGAAUAUUCUACACUCAAGAAACAGAAAGGUGACAGUUGUCAAAUACAUAUUAUGAACUAGCUGAAAUUAAAAUAUUCUUGUAUUCCUUAGAUUAUUUGUGUCAUGCAAACUCCACUUUAGAAAAUUCCAUUCUAAAUUGCUGUGUGAGAUUAUGUACCAUUCUAAUAUGAUCUCAUGGGGGAAUUAUUUAGCCCAUAGCAACGCACGGGCACGAUCCUAGUGGAAUUGAAAAGAAUAGAGAUCGCGUAUGACAAGAGUACUCUAGGUAAUAUUUCUUCAAAUACCGAUUCAGCUCCCUCAUUUUCACUUCAAUAUUUUCACCAAUGGUAUAGAAAUAGAACUUGAUGAAUUCCACGUCUCAUCGAGCAAAACAUCUCGAAUUGCUAGCAACAUCUUCAAGAAAAGGUGGGCUGUAGGAUGCCUGUUUGCGGAGAAUGCUUUGGUUGCCUCACUUAAAGCAUCACGAAUGUCCUUUACUGCUUUGUUAUUCACACUAGCAUUGUCUAAUGUCAAGGUAAACAGCUGUUCAAUCAACUCCCACUUCAUCAACCACAACUUCUUGUCCUAGAUCCAUAUCACCUAGAUGACACAACUUCUUAGCCUUCGGCCUAGUAUCUUCCAAGUGAACAAAAGAGCCUGGAAUGUGAAUAAGAUCAACAAAUUUGAAUAAAAUACCAACUUGUUUUGGUUUUACUGACUGCUUGUAUUUUUAGUACUACAAUGAGUAGGUUUGAAGAAAAUAUGAUUCUGUAUAUGAUGCAGUUGUUUUGGCUCACAGCUAACUGUAUUUUGUUCCCAUGAUAAAAAAAUUCUGAUCAGAAAUCUUGUUUUUUCACUUCAGAUUAGAAGUAAUGUAAGAUGUCAGAUUAAUGGACGAUGAGGAGCAUAAGUUUUAGGCUUCGAGGACACAGUGCCCCUCCAAUUGCAUACUGAUACUGCUAAAACGAAAGGGGACUGAGGUGACUGGGAUAUCAUCAGUAUCAGAUAUACUAGCAGCUAUGUUCAUGAGCUUCUAUGUGGUGAAACAAGCUGGAGAUGACUAAGGUAUAGGAGCUUUUUUUCACAGAACAGUAGGACCAUUUUCACGAGAUUCAACUGCCUGAUCUUAACUGAAUGGUAAACAUAAGCAAUACCAGUAUGCAACCAACAAAAGAUCUUGCACUCCCAUCUUACAUUCUCUAAAACAGUAACAAUUCUAAGUUCACAGAUCUAGUGGUACUAAAAAGCUCAAUGAACGAAUUUAAUUUGCCAAUGCCAUCCUCCUGCUCUACAAAACCCAAAAACUCAAGCAGAUUGAAGCUGCAAAGGAGAGUUUAAAAAUAGCCAACACUAGCAGAAUACUGCACGAACUAGGCACAGCGCAGUAUAAACAAAAAGACAAAUAGGAAAGGCAAACACAUCAGAUGAAAAUCACCUGCACGCCGACGCCACCUGCGUCCGCUGCUGAGGCCGCCUGCUCUUGCUGGCCGCCGCGCGUCGGCCUAGCCGCACGCCCUGCCGGAGCCCGCCGGGGGCCGGCCCCACGGGAGCGCCUCGCACCCCCGCACCGCCCGGAUCUUGAGUUCUUGCGCCGCCGCCGCCGCCGCACGAGCCUGGAGAGGCCGCGAAAAAGAGGAGAGCCCCUUUCCUGCGAUCCACGGGCUCAGCCCUUCCAAUUGACUCAAGGAUCGAUUAUGGGCCACGUUCACAGGUCAGCCCUUUUAUGGAGAUGGCCCGAUCUGAUCCUGCCCAUUCUUCGGGAAGGCCUUUUAAGGCUCGGCCUAUAUGAGCUUGUAAGGCCCGAUCGGUUUGGCCCUUGGAUUUUCCAGGCUUAAGUAUAGGUAUAAGGUUUUCUACGUAUCUAAAAUAUUUUCCACUAGAAAAGGUUUUCUACGUAUGUAAAAUAUUUCCACUUGACUACCCGAUAAGGCAAUCAUUCGUGUGGCACAUGCCCGGGGCCUACUCGGAAAGUGAGUGCGCAUCCUCUCACAUGAUUGGACACAUCCACUUGACUCCUCAAAGGUCGUCAAUGCUUGCAGCUUGCAUUUUCCACAGAAGCAGCAGCUCUUGAACCCACUGUCCAGCAUCUCCCUCUCCACCCACCAACACUGUGUUUCCCUGUCUACUGCGCGUGUGUUUUGGAGCUCCCGGCGUAGCCAUGGCUGAGGUACUGGCCACCAUGGUGGUCGGGCCACUGGUGUCCAUGGUGAAGGAGAAGGCCUCCAGCUACCUCCUGGACCAGUACCAGGUGAUGGAGGGCAUGGAGGAGCAGCACAAGCUCCUGAAGCGCAAGCUGCCGGCCAUCCUCGAUGUCAUCGCCGAUGCCGAGCAGCAGGCGGCGAAACACAGAGAAGGGGCCAAAGCUUGGCUGGAGGAGGUCCGGACGGUGGCCUACAAGGCGAAUGAUGUCCUCGACGAGUUCAAGUACGAGGCGCUUCGCCGCAAAGCCAAGGUGGAGGGCCACUACAAGGCGCUCGGCAUGGAUGUAAUAAAGCUCUUCCCUUCUCACAACCGUGUUGUGUUCCGUUAUAAGAUGGCAAAAAGGCUCUGCAUGAUCUUGCAAGAAAUUGAUGUCCUCAUCGCAGAGAUGAAUGCGUUCAGGUUCAAAUUCAAACCGCAGCCGCAAAUGCCCAUGCAAUGGAGGCAGACGGAUGCUUGCAUCCCCACUGAGUCUGUGGAGAUUGCCAGCAAAUCAAGAGCUCAAGAGACGAAGGUUCUUGUUGAUCGAUUGCUUGCUGGAGCCAGCAGUAAGGAUCUCAUGGUCCUUCCGAUAGUCGGAAUGGGGGGGUUGGGCAAGACCACCUUAGCACAGCUCGUUUACAAUGACCCUGAAAUUCAGAAGCAUUUCGAGUUGCGGCUCUGGGUGUGUGUCUCUGAGGAUUUUGAUGUGGAUUCCCUGGCUAACAGAAUAGUGAAAGAGAAUGGUUGUAAAGCAAGUGAAAGUUCAUCAGCACUGGACAAUCUUCAAAAGGCAGUGAGUGGGAAGAGGUACCUCCUCGUAUUGGAUGAUGUGUGGAACCGUGAUGAGCCCAGCAAGUGGGAAAGGCUCAAGUCCUACCUUCAGCAUGGUGGCAGCGGUAGCUCAGUGCUGACAACAACUCGCGAUGAAGCUGUUGCUAAACUAAUGAUGGGUACAACUGAAAGAGCCUAUAAACUUGGAAGCUUGGAUGAAGAGUCCAUAGGGAAAAUUAUCAAGGCAAGAGCAUUCGGUUCAAAACAAGAAAAGGAAUGGCCUGGUGAGCUAGUUCACAUGGUUGGUGAAGUUGCCAAGAGAUGUGCUGGUUCUCCUUUAGCUGCUACAGCAUUGGGCUCUUUACUGAGUACCAAGACCAGCAAGCAAGAAUGGAAGGAUGUACUAAAUGGAAGCACGAUUUGUGAUGAGGAAAAUGGGAUUUUACCAGUACUUAAACUAAGUUACAAUUGCUUGCCAUCAUACAUGCGGCAAUGCUUUGCUUUCUGUGCUAUGUUUCCCAAGGAUUAUGAGAUUGACGUGCAAAUGCUAAUCCACUUGUGGAUGACCAAUGGUUUUAUCCCAGAGCAAUCAAAAGUGUGUCCUGAAACUUUUGGAAAAGGAAUUUUCAUUGAGCUGAAGUCAAGGUCAUUUUUUCAGGAUUUGAAGAAUGUCCCAUUUUACGAAAAUGGAUAUUCUAUUCAUGGAGAGGGUGAUGAGCACAGGUAUUGUUCUAGAAUUACUUGUAAGAUCCAUGACCUUAUGCAUGAUGUUGCACAGUCUGCUAUGGGAGAAGAAUGUGCUGCAAUAGCUACACACCCAAGUGAAAGAGAGGAUGUUCUUCGUUCAGCUCGUCACUUGUAUUUGUCAAUCCGUCGAUCAGAAACUCUUCUGAGUGCUUCCCAAGAGAAAGGAUCUCCAGCUUUCCAAACACUGAUUUGUGACGGAUAUGUAGGAGAUUUGAAGAUUUUAUCAAAAUACAAUUCUAUAAGAGCUUUAAAGAUCCGUUGUGGUUCAAUCCUAAGGCCGAAAUAUCUUCAUCACCUGAGGUAUCUUGAUCUCUCGAGAAGUGAUAUUGAAGCACUUCCUGAAGACAUUAGCAUCCUAUAUCAUCUGCAAACACUGAACCUUUCUUACUGUGACUGGCUUGAACGGCUUCCAAAGCAACUGAAGUAUUUGACUGGCCUCCGUCACCUCUACACUCACGGAUGUGAAAAGUUGAAAAGCAUGCCUGCAGAGCUCGGACGCCUGACUUCCCUACAGGCGCUUACAUACUUUGUAGCAGGUACCGAUGACUCCGGUUGCAGUAAUUUGGGAGAGCUGCAGAAUUUGGACCUUGGUGGUACACUGGAGCUAGGAAAUCUAAAAAAUGUGACAGGAGCAGAUGCACAAGCAGCAGGUCUUGGAAACAAGAAAAAACUGACCCAACUGGAGUUAUGUUGGACUGAUAGUGACCAGGAAGCACAGAAUAAUAAUCAUAAAGAGGUGGUGGAAGGUCUCAAACCUCAUGAUGGGUUAAAGGCUCUGAGGAUAAAUCACUACGGGAGCACAACUUUUCCAACGUGGAUGAAUACUUUGAAAGGCAUGGUGGAGCUCACAUUAUUCCGUUGCAAAAAGCUCGAAGAGCUUCCUGCACUCUGGGAGCUAUCAGCUCUGCAAAUUCUUCACCUGAAGGGUUUGGAGAGUUUACAUUGUUUGUGCAGCGGUGGUACUACACCCAUCACAUUUCCAAAACUGAAUGUACUUAUCUUGUUAGAAAUGGCAAAAUUUGAGGCAUGGCGGGAGGCACAUGAGGUACAAGGAGAAGAGCCGAUAUUUCCCAAGGUUGAGGAGCUGGUGAUUAAGGAGUGUACAAGUUUGACUGCAUUACCAAAAGCAGCGUCGGUGAUUACAGAAUUGUCUGGCAGAGUUGACACUAAGUGCCGCUCUGCAUUUCCAGCAUUGAGGAAAAUGAAGCUAUAUAAGUUGACUGUGUUUGAAAGAUGGGAGGCAGGCGAAGGAAUUUCAGGCGAAGAGGUAACCUUUCCUCAGCUUGAGGAGCUGUCAAUCGAGUAUUGUGGCAGCCUGAGUGCACUACCAAAAGGGCCAUUUGGCGGAGCUGAAACUGUGUGUUGCUGCUCCGCAUUUCCAGCACUGAGGAAACUAGAGUUAUCUGGUUUGUUGGCCCUUGAGAGGUGGGGGGCAGCCGAAGGAACUCCAGGAGAAGAGGUAACAUUUCCUCUGCUGGAGAACUUGAGUAUCCAUGAUUGCCCGAGGUUGACUGAUCUACCUGAAGCACCGAAGCUAAGUGAAUUAUCCAUAAGUAAAGGACAUGGUCAACAACAAAUAUCCCUAGAGGCAGCUAGCAGAUGCAUCCCUUCAUUGUCCCGUCUGACUCUGACCGUGUCACCCGAUGACACAGAAACAACAUUGCUGCAUGUCAAGAAUAAAUUGAAUGGUACACUCGCCUUGGCAGCUAUGCGGUUAGGUCGGUGCGACAUUUUUUUCUCCUCCAGCUCAAGCGCACUGGCGCUAUGGACAUGUUUUGCACAGUUAGUAGAUUUGGAUAUUUGGGAUUGCGAUGCUCUUGUCUACUGGCCAGAAAACGUGUUCCAGGUCCUGGUAUGCCUGAGGAAGUUAGCGAUUUCCAGAUGCAGCAAACUGACAGGACGCACACAAGCUUCUGAUGAGCAAUCUGCUCCAGCUCCAGAACGUGGUGGACUCCUGCCAUGCCUGGAGUCUCUAGGGAUAGUAGAUUGUGAAUCUUUGGUAGAGGUCCCCAUCCCGGCAUCUCUCAAGAAAUUACGUAUUUGGGGCUGCAGUAGUAAUGUCGGGUCCAUCGUAUUUGGUCACCCGGAGGAUACGAGAUUGGUGAGUGGAGAAGGUGUUGUACGGCCGAAUACGUCAUCAUUAAUUCCAGGGUCCAGCAGCAGUGAGGCCACAGCGUCUACAGCUGUACUGAAGCUGUCAUCUGCAGCCAACCAUCGCUUCCUUCCAUUUCAAUGCCUAGAAUUUCUAGGUAUAGCGUGUUGCAGUGGCUUGUCAGAGGUUGCCAAUCUUCCUCCGUCUAUCAAGACCUUGCGCAUUUGUGGCUGCGGCAAGUUUCAAUCCCUAUCAGGAGACCUCCGGUUGCUGGAAGAACUCAAGCUUUAUCAUUGCGAAAGACUGGUAUCCUUACCGGAUGGGCCUCAAGCAUACUCAUCUCUUAGAGUUCUUCGGAUUGAAAAUUGUGAUGGUAUAAAGUUGCUUCCGCCAAGCCUACAGAGCCGUUUGGGCUACCUCGAGGAGAAAGAUCUAGAUGCCCGUUACGAAGGUAAUCUCCAGUUUCUUUGUUUCUUUUAACAAAAUGAUCAAGAGCUCAAUUGUUGUUACCUAAAAUGCAACUCUGUGCUUAAACAUUCUGUUAGCUAUUACAAGAUGUGGUAGGAUUUAGUGGUAAGAAGUUUAUGAGUAUUACUCUGUGUUAAACAUUCUGUUAGCUAUCUAGCCAAGCCGUUCAUGAUGUAUACAUUAUAUUGACUAUUGAGUACAAUGCACCACUAAUAUUUAUGUGCAUGUGUGUCAUCGAAAUACAUUAACUUCGUGUAUUAUUGCCAUUCGGGGUAUCUAAACACGUACAACCAGAUCAAGAACCGCAGUCAUCCUUGUAUUUAUAGCUAUAAGAUGAUCUUUGUUGUUCACUUUUGAUACCUUGGUUGUAAACUUGUAAUUGCUAACUCGAAUCAUGUAAUAAAAUCAAUCAUCUUCCUUUAGUUGUAUUUAAAGCAGCAUGGCAUCAUGGAAUUAUUGCAGCCGAAUUCACUAGCUCCAAUUAAAGUGGCACUUGUCCUAGCGUUUCUCUGCAAAUUCACUAGCUCCAUUGCAUACAGUUCAAGUAUGUGUAGUUUUCUUUUCAUGGCUUAUGCCUUUUGACAUAAAUAAUAAUUUUCCUUUCCUUUGAAACAUUUACUAUUGGGUACCACAGCAUAUUCUCCUGUGUAUAUAUAUACUUUCUAACUUUGUGUUGAUUUGCAUGCAUAAAUUCUAACAUCAUCUGUGAUCAUGGCUAUAAGAUGAUCUUUGUUGUUCACUUUUGAUACCUUGGUUGUAAACUUGUAAUUGCUAACUCGAAUCAUGUAAUAAAAUCAAUCAUCUUCCUUUAGUUGUAUUUAAAGCAGCAUGGCAUCAUGGAAUUAUUGCAGCCGAAUUCACUAGCUUCAAUUAAAGUGGCACUUGUCCUAGCGUUCCUCUGGAAAUUCAUGAUCACUAGCUCCGUUGUAUGCAGUUCAAGUAUGUGUAGUUUUCUUUUCAUGGCUUAUGCCUUUUGACAUAAAUAAUAAUUUUCCUUUGAAACAUUUACUAUUGGGUGCCACAGCAUAUUCUCCUGUGUAUAUAUAUACUUUCUAACUUUGUGUUGAUUUGCAUGCAUAAAUUCUAACAUCAUGGCCUGAUUGCCAGAAUUGCCAGAACCAACCUGGAAACGUUCAAUCAGGAAGCUGGUGUGCUCGAAAUAGUAGAUCAAGGCCUGACCAAAGAAAAUUAUCUCCAAGGUAUUUUUGCAAAGAUAUCACCAAGGUUUGUAAUAUUAGUGUUCUUGAUGAUUGAUUGGAAAUGAUGCUAGCUCCUAAUGCUGACUUCCUAUGCGCUGUGACUUCCUUGUAGGAUGGUGCCAGACCUGCAAAAGAUGGAUUAUUGUGACUCUUGUUUAGAAUGUAUCAUAUGGGCAUUCUGAAGAUAUUCUCCAGUAAAGUCAAGGCAAAGUUCUAGAUUUUGAGCAGAAAACAAGUCCUAGAUUGCAAGCUGAAGAAUUUAGCACACAGAGCUGCGUGCUCCAGUCUUUUAUCCUUCUUCAAACCGAAGACCUUUAUUUUGAGCAGAAACGAAGUCCCAGACUGCAAGCAGAAGAAUUUAGCAUACAGAGCUGCGGGCUCCAGUCUUUUAUCCUUUUUUUUUUCUUUUGAGCCAUGACUUGUUUGCAUUCGUGUCUGCUUCAGCCUCCAGCACAAGCGAAACACAGGCAGCACUUUCAUUUUAUGAUUUGUCUAUCCACAUACAUGACCGACUGCCAUAGAGUAGACCAACAGUCCAACGUACUCAUGUUGUUGCUCGACAAGCUGUCCAAGCUGCUGCUUGAUAUGAACUGAAAGUGCUGAACUUUGUCCAUGUUAUGUUGGUAGUAUAUCUAAUACUGAACUUCAGAGUAGAACAACAGUCCAACGUGCUCAUGUUGUUGCUCGACAAGCAGUCCAAGCUGCUGCUUGAUAUGAACUGAAAGUGCUGAAUUUUCUCCCGUGUAUGUUCUGUGUUACUGUGUAUCAAAUACUGAAUGGUGUGCAGGGUGAUCCUGCAUCCUGGAAUGGCACGGUCUUGUGCAGAGGUCUCAUUGUUGUUGACCUGUUUCUUCAAAACUGCAUGUGCAGCAACAUUUUCUCCUGGCAGUGCUGCAAUGGAAUUGAAAAGAAUGGUGAUUGUUAUAGUAUAAUUGUCAUAUAUAGGCUGGGACACAAAACAAUGGAUGUACAUGAGCAAGGAAGAAGCUCUGGAUGCAGGGGAUGGAACAGAACAGAGACACGGACUCUGUCAACAGCGAUGCUCCCCAAGCGAGCAGAGGCAGAGCAGCGAAGCCCGCCUCGCAAUCUCCGCUACCCCCAUCGAAGUUGCCACACGCCACCGCAUCUCCCUCCACUCCGCUCCCACUCCCCCGCCACCGCCAUGGCCGCCGCCGCCGCAGCGCCCUCCCUCCUGCACCCACCGGCGGCCCGCAAGGCCCCCACACCUUCUCCCUCUCCUUACCCUUCCCCAUUCCUCCGCCUCCCGGCCCCCGCGCACCCGCGCCUCCCGCUCCGCCUCCGCUCCACCUCCCCGGCCGCCGCCUCCGACCUCACCGACUUCCCCAACCCGAACGGCAUCCUCGCGCCCAUCGACGUGGACGCCGCCACGGAGGCGGAGCUUCGCGAGAACGGGUUCCGGAGCACGCGCCGCACCAAGCUCGUCUGCACCGUGGGCCCGGUCACCUCGUCGCCCGAGCAGCUCGAGGCGCUCGCCGUCGGCGGGAUGAACGUCGCCCGCCUAAACAUGUGCCACGGGGACCGGGAGUGGCACCGGGGCGCCAUCCGGGCAGUCAGGAGGCUAAACGAGGAGAAGGGCUACGCCGUCGCCGUCAUGAUGGACACCGAGGGCAGCGAGAUCCACAUGGGGGACCUCGGCGGCGCCUCAUCGGCCAAGGCGGAGGUGAGGUGCUGUGCUUGUAUGUAAGCUGCUGUCCAGUUUUGGACUUGGCGUUGCAGUUUUCAGUUUUCAGAUUGAACGUAUUCCGUGAAAUGUGCUUGUGCAAUGUGGCAAUGUGGAUGAGAGGGGUGGUGGCAGUGGCAGUGUCAGGCAUUGCCGUUUCAUACUUCUGCAAAACCUAGCGAGUCAGGAUUUCACCAAAAUGUUUUUUUUCCAUCUUCGAAAUGGCUCAGUUGAUUUAGAUUUUCAGCUCAUGUUUGAAAUUGUUAUAGAAGGAAAAACAUUCAGAAUUUCAGAUUGUCAUCAAACACUGGAUUGUGAAAGUGGUAAUCAUUUUCAAGGCUUUCAAUCUUUCAAAAAAAUUUCAAGGCUUUCAGUAUCAGUGCAACUCAAAUAAAGUGCAUGGUAAACAUCACCAUGUUUUGGCUUUCUCUGCAUAUAAGACACGGUGCUGGAGUGGUUCGACGGCGCUGAGGUCCCAAUCCAACCAGUCAGGUUUUUUCAAGGUGUCGAGUUUGAGUGCUUACCUGCGUUGGCCCCAUUCCAACCGGGCGAGUCUUUAUUUAUUUUUCGUUUCUUUUCUUUUUUUGCCUAUGGCCUCCCAGGACCGUAGUCUUGUAUUUUCUAUUAUAUCAAUAGAAACUCGCACUAUCUUGUGCGGUUCGUUCAAAAAAAAGUGAUAGGCAUUGAGCUUCUGAAGGUCGUUGUCUAGAUAUUAGGCCCAAGCCUCAAUGGCUUUUUUUUCCCUGUUGCAAACCUUCCUGUAAGUAAAGGGCACACCAGUGCGAAAGCUCCCACACAAGGUGGGGUCUGGGGAAGGGAAUUCCUAGAUAGCCUUACCCUUGCAAAAUUCUUUUAAAUUUUUGCAAAGAGGUUGGUUCGAACCCAGGACCUCCGGGCCACAAGUGGAGAGUUUUACCACUGUGCCAGGUCCGCCCUUCUAGCAGAAUCUCUUAUGCUAGGUUUAAUUUGAAUUAGCUUUAUUAGUAGAAUGCUUGGCCCAUUUAUUGGUAAAUGGUAAAAUUCAUAAAGAUUAUCCUCAUUCCCUUAAUCAAUUUUAGGUGUUUAACUUGCAGCAAAUUCGAACAAUGACAGACAUGCAGCAUAUUGUUAGUUCAUCUGUAAGACUUGGCUUGCUGGUUUAAUGCUUUGUUAAAGGUUUGAAGUUAAUGUGUCUACUGGUAGCUAUUGAAUCUCUUUAUAGUUUAUUUAUAUCUUUUUUCUUUAUUAGUAUAAAGCCAUGUAGAAGUUUUCAGAAUACUGAAAUUUCUAGUGUUCGUUUUGUGGAGUCUCUGCACCUACAUCCUUUUUUGCAACUGCAUUUCAGAUCCUUCAGUUAUAGCAUGAAUAAUUUUUUAAAAAAGAAAAUUCUAGGUAGAUUCUUGCCCGUAGUUAAUGGUAGUGUCCGAUGAUAGUUGUGUUUUAGAUAAUACAUUAAUAUUAGUAAUCCAAAGAAACUAAACUACUUCCAUGAUGCUAAAUGUCAUCAGUGCUAGCUAGGGUCACUAUACCAAAAAGGAGAUUCUAUCACCAUUCGGCUGUUUAUCUUAAGUUUUUAACCAUACAGUUAGAAGUUUGAUUGUACACCUAUUCAAUAAUCCAAGGUUUUCUUGAGCCACGUUAUUUACCCAAUGACUUCCAUUUUUCUUGGCAUUAAAACCUUUCUGAAGUAAUUAACAAAUCAUGUCACAUUUGUUGGAUUCCACAGGAUGGAGAAGUCUGGACAUUUAGUGUUAGGUCAUUUGAAUUGCCUCUCCCAGAACGAACUAUUAAUGUGAAUUAUGACGGGUUUGCUGAAGGUAUGUAAGCUGACCUAUUUGUUGAUAUCUUUUGCUGUUAUUGUUCACUGCCAUAAUUUUGUCCUACACAGAUGUGAGAGUUGGUGAUGAGCUUCUUGUGGAUGGUGGAAUGGCUCGGUUUGAGGUGAUUGAGAAGUUGGGACCAGAUGUUAAGUGUCGCUGCACAGAUCCUGGUUUAUUGUUGCCACGUGUGAAUCUUACAUUCUGGCGUGAUGGCAGUAUUGUCCGUGAGAGGAAUGCUAUGCUUCCUACAAUUUCAUCAAAGGUAAAUGCACUAGCAUAAUAAAUUUCUUGCUGUAAUUACCAAAAGACCGCAAAACUUUGUUAAUCUAUGCCACCCCUUGGUACUAGUAUUGCAAUGGAUUUACAGCUUGGUUUUUUUUGUCAAUGCCAUGGUCAGUUCAAAACAACAUGUAUUAGUUCAAAGCCUUACAUUGUGCACUGAAACUCAUCUCUUGAUAGUUUUUAUCAGCUAUUUCUUAAGAAGGCUUCUACCACCUAGAGUUGUUUAACUGAAAAUUUAAUCUUCUAGUAGCAGAUACUAAUAUUAUAAGUUUAUAAUAAUGCUGCUCCUACCCCCGACGCAGCUUGCCGGAGGCCCUUGACGCAGCGCUGCCAUCCGCAAGCCCUAACGCCGCCGACGCGCCCCUCUCCUCGGUUGAUUUGGGAAGGCGCGGGACUGAGGCAGGGAGAUUGGGAAGCAGAGCUUCCUGUUCCUCGUCUGCUACUCUGCUUCAAUUGGGCACCGGGAAAAGCGAUGCUGCCGGGUGCUCGGGUUCUUGGAGAGGGGAUGGAAUGGAAUGAUGGAUCGAUGCGGGAUGCGUUGCUGUUGCUAGCGGCUUCUGAUUGGAGAGAGGAGAGAAGCUGGUUGCUUGUGUUACCGUGAACGUGAAGGAAAACAGAGUAGGGAGGAGAGCAAGCUGCUGGUGCAGGAGCAUCAUGGCUACGGCAAUGGCAGCGGUGCGGUUCGUUCCGUCAAAUCCCAGAUUUCGGCCACAUUUGAUUGAUGCGAUUUAAUUUGAUUCCUUAUUGGUCGCCAGCCACGCAUUCGAUUCAUGGACGCGCAGGCCCCGGUGGUGAUGCAAGCCACGGUGGUUCCUGCAUGACAAUAGGUUCUUGUUACAAGACAGUCAUCAGUCAUAUUGUGAAGAACUGAUGGCAGUUUUGAACACAAAUAUAGGAUUUCAUCACGAUACACUAGAGGUUUACAAUCAUCAACUACUGCAGGGGAAAAAAAUGGAGCUAGUAUUUUUGAAAAAUGGCCCGAUGUUGAAUCUGUGAUAAUGCAACUUAUGUAGCAGAGCAACCAUGGUAACACAAAAAUGUGCCAAGAGACUGACCUGAUCUUCUUCAGCCUCUCUCCAGGUCAUCCCCGAGCUUCAUGUCAAGAGCGUUGGAAACAACCUGGGAGAACCUACAUCCUUGUAAUCCUUCUUCAUGAUGAGGAAUCAGUCAGGGACCAUGAACUGGCGAGGGUUAGGAACCACAUUCUUGAGGCGCUCAAGCUCAUCUGGGGACACCUCACGAGCUCUGCACAAAAAUAUUAUCAUCAGAGCUAAACUUCAUGCAAUGGGGCAUUCUAGCUGUAGCAUACAACAACCUACUGGCCCAGUUUGUUAUUGCGGCACAUGGAAAAUUAGUGGGAAAGUGGUGCGAUGCACCCAUCUCAAAUCUCCAACUUCAAAAAACAUGAAUGCCAAAGACUUCUGCAUAGGCUGUCUUUAGAUGGCAGAUGUUUUUUAAAACACGUUUUCCAAUGGGCUUCACUCUCAAGUAGAUUCAGAAAAGCUAAUUGAUGAUCGGCACCAAGCCACAGAUGACUGCCACUAAUGAACAGUCAGUAGAUAAUUUCUGCAUUGUUGCCUAGAUUUCACCUGAGGAAAACCAAACUGAUUGAACAUCUCGCCACAAUUUCUUAGAUUAACUGAGCCCAUCACCUACGGGAAUGGAAGGAAAAAAAACCGAAAACUGUUACCAACAUUACAAUUUGUCAAAUAAUCUUCAUAUUCGAAUUCCCUAUACAAAAAUACCGCUUUGCCAGACUGGACCAGAAAGCAAACCAAACCUAAAUUCAGUAUAUUUAUACAUGUUGAAUCAUCUCUUGGUCACGUUUUCUUCAUUGAAAAGAAGUAAUGAGAAGAAACAUUCUUCAAAAAUUACUGAUCAAAACCAUAUUUUUAGUGUGCUACGAUUCUACAGCGACUUCAGUACAAUGGAAGCAUUGGUGCUACAACGAGCUUCUGAUAAAGUUAGGAGUGAUUUUAAUCCACUUUUCAACUUGGAAACCAAGUUGAAAACAAGUCUUCCUUUUUGUUAAUGUGUUGCCGUGAGAACAUAGAGUAUGAGCAGUUCAAACCGGUUACCUAAAUUAUGCUUGUGAUCCGUGCACUGUGAUGGUCAAACUUCUCCUUGUUAAAUGGCAAGCUGCUGUUGCCUUGGAUCCUAAGGUCGUGCUGUGAAUGGUAUUGUAACUGUUAAGGUAAAUCCUGUUCUCCAUUUGUGGCCAUGCAUGAGAAUUGAGAACUGGAGAUCAUUCUGAAUUUUUGCUCCUUACAGAUUGCUUUGUGUAUCCCUUGUGCGCCAAAUGGGACUGAAAUUCGUGGCGUGAUACGUCAUCGUGACCUUUUGAAUUUUAGUUGGCUUUGUUUUUGUUUUCGAGGAUUUAACUGUUGUGCCUCCGUCUUCCAUGUGGCGAAGAAAUUGACGCAGUGGGGUCGGGAUGGUGUUCAGCUGCUGUUUGCUGGUAGACUGUUUAUUUUGUUUGGGAGUAUAAAGGGGUGGAUCAUCCAUCAUAUCUAAGCAAUAUGAUUAGUGCAAAUCAUGAUGGUCAACGUCAGGUUUCGUUUUGGGCAACCAACCACAGGGUUUCUUUGAUGGUUUCGUAUUCAUUGUAAUCGCUGUCGUUGCUUGCUUCUUGCUGCCCACAUUCCUAUUCUCCCGUCGGCUCGACGGAGGAUUUUAUUUUAAGAAUGCAGAGAAAGAAACAUGCCUCCGUUUUCCAAGCAAAGCAUAUAUUCUUUCUGGAAGGUCAACGACAAGGCCCCGGCCGUUCCAAGCUUCUCGCUGGCCUAGCCGUCGCGUCCAUUCAAGCUCAGAGGCGACUGCCGUUCCGAGCUCUCCAAGGGCCCGCGCGAUGGGAAGCGGCGCGGUUCUUGACGGUGGUGUUGUUCCUCGCCGCGGGGGUCCUCUUCGCGCCCGAAUCGCUGGCGCCUCGGCGGCCACCGCAUGGGGCACCGGCCUCUGGGUCGCAUUCAUCGGCGGCACCAUCCUGUUCAGGUAAGCAAGCGCCGCCGCUGCCGCUUCGUCCGCCCCAAGAUCAGAUGGUUGGAAACAAGCGAGAGAUGGAUUCUGUCAUGUUUACUAAUAUACCAUUAUACCCAAGCCUAAAUGUGAUAUGCUGCUGCUGUCAUAGCAUUCACAUUCAAAUCCAAUUUCGUGCGCAGCAAUGCACGGCGCCCAUCCUAGGAAGAACUCUGAGGAAAAUGACAAGCCUCAUGAAUCUGUCCUUGGAAUCAUGCGAGUUUUAGUAAAUCAUUGGAAUCCACUGGAUCAUCAUCUUAAUCUGGCAACCAUUGGUCCGGAAAAAUCAUUCUAGUAAAUAUUCACCUUGACGAUCUGUUGGAAGGACAAGGACCACAAAAAUUAUGAAUUGGGAUUUAUGUGCUGUAUUGAGAGAGCCCGUAGGUGCUGGAUUUCUCUGGAAACGUUCUGAAAGUUCUGGUAGUGGUAGCACUGCUACAAUUUUACAAGCAUGUGGGGUUGUUCCUCUGUUUGUUGAUUAGGUAUUAUGUUUUGCAGUCUUAAAGUUCAGAAGGUAAUUACCCAGGUGUGCAAGUAUACCUUCAAGUUUUUUUUUAACAUAGUGUACAUAUUACCUUGUUAUAGUGAGAACAGAGAAGUCCACCGCAAAAGUAUAGCCUAGCAUAUAUUGUUCUUGCAAUAGACCAUGUGUGGAUAUGCCCCUUUGCAGGUCGAUUAUUCCAUUCAGAACAUAGCAUGGACCUCUAUAGUGUUUUGGAUAGAUUUUUUUUUAUUAUAAAGGUACUUGCCGAGGCACCAAUUUGGGAGUCUGCGGGGUAAAAUGUUCCCGGCGUAGUUCAUAUUGACAUCAGUGUGUUCAGCGAUAUCUGUGGCAGCAUUCGUAUACCUGCACCCCUGGAAGACAGCAUCAACCAUCGAGCGUUACCAGCAUGGAUUCCUUCUUUCGGCCCUUAUCUGUAACCUUUCAAACCUUCUGGUCAUCACACCCGAUCCUUACCUGCGCUGCCGCCGCACCGCCACCUCUCCCUCCCUGCGUCGCCGCCGCGCCGCCACCACUCCCUCCCUGCGUCACCGCCGGGACCCCGACGACCCCUCCCACCACUCCCUGCAACUGAAGAGGUAAUCCGACAGCGCCCCCUCCGGGCGCCGCCACGCCGACCCGCCUCCGGGUGCCCAAUUGAUACGCCCGGACCGCUCCUCCUCCGUCCGCUGCCCAACCGUGCCUCCUCCGGGCGCCCAACGCCGGCGCACCCCCUGUCCGGUUGCCCCUCCGCGCCAGCGCCCCCCUUCCCGGCCUUCUCUCCACCCCUCCCCCGGCCUCCCCUCCACGCCGGCGCGCUGGUAGACGGACGCCUCUGGCUACUUCUGUGCCGGCCGCGCCGCCGCCAAGCUCGCCCCUACGAAAACGGUAACCUCUUCCGCCCAUCUGCACAUCUCCAUGACAAUCCGUUUUUAUGCAUCCUUAUUGAGGCGGAUCUGGUGGUUCGAUUGCAUAGAGGAGGAUAAUGAUUAGUGGAUUUGCUUGAUUGGCAACAUAGUCCAUCAUUUAUUCUCCUGUUCUCCAUUAUCAGUAUUGUGAAAUUGCUUGACAGAUGGCUGGUCACUUGUUUUUUUUUAGUGAUUCCAAUGGUAAUCAUAUCAUACCAGACCUAGAUAGAAUAUAAUAUGAGAUGAUGUUGCAGACUGAGUCAUCUGAUUCUUGCAGUCUAAUUCUAGGAGUUUUAGGCAGUGGCAUGUGAAUAUUAUCAAUACUUCUGCUUCAGUUAACAUAUGCAACUUAUGGGCACUCACAUAGCAGGUUAUUUUUCUGUUGUUUUAACUAACAUGGCAUGACGUGAUGUUUUUGACUGUUUAACUAAUAGAAUCUUUAAGCUUUGAUUGGUACACUCAAACUUCAUUAUUGAGAUUGGUCGACUGUCAGUAUUGUGAAAUUGCUCAACAGAUGGGAUAUUGCUUGCAUUAAAAGAUUAGCUUCAGGAUAUUGCUUCGAUUGUAGAGGAUGAUAAAAGUAUUGAUUUUUCUUUCCUUGUUUUUUAGUCAUUCGUGCUUACUCUCUAGCAAUGGUUAAUUACAACACUGCAGGACUACUAGCUAGCGUAUUUAUCUAGGUUCUGAUAUAAAGCAUAUAACAUUGGAUCUGGGAUAAUAUGUUGGCUAUUUUGUGGCUGGCCCGGAAGCCCAGUGGUUGCUUUGCUUUGCUACCUGCUUUUGCAACUCUCUUCUUUUCUGAGCUCAUUCUUACACUUUAGCCUGCAGUCGAGUAUGUGUGUUAGCUAUUGAGCUGUUUUGCUUUGCUUAAUCAAAUGCUAUAUUACACCAUGUUUUCAAAUUUGUUCCCAUAGUUAUUUAGCUUAACCUCUAUCUCUGAAAUCAGGUACUUGAUAGGAUGAACUGUAGGGGUCUGAGGUCUUUUUUUAAUGAAGCAACAGGGGAGGACCCUACUGACAAAUUUCAGAGGAUAUAUAUCUGUACAGGUUGCAUGGCCAUGUAGUUCCAAAAGAAAAAAAAGGAGGAGAUUUAGAUCCCUCUCCACGAAAUAUUUUCAUGGUUGUCCAUAAAUAUUUGUUUUCUGUGCAUUAAGCUUUUCUGUUGUGCUAAUCUGAUUCAAGGAACCCAGAAUUGCAACUAUCUUAAAUUUUCUUUUUAUAUUCCAUUUUAUAUCAAUUCCAGGUACAUGCAUGAUUGGUAUGGCCAGGUUGAAUGCAAAUAUGUGGCAACACUGAAGUAGAACAAUCAUUAUGAAGCAUGUCAAGUAAGCAUGUUCUAACUUUUGGAAUGUAGCUUCAUGAAUUUGAUUCUUUGAUAUACUAUACAAGGUUGUAUUUGUUUGAUCUGUCACUUAAUUUGACAUUGGAGUUGUCCGGCCAACAAAUCCACAUGUGCCUCCGCCACAUGGACGCCCCCAAGGCCCGUACGUGAUCCCCAGGUCCCUUCCCUUCUGUUUGGUUGCAAACACUGACAGAGAACCAUUUGCAACUGAGCUCAUGACUAACUUAAUGUACCGUUGCUGCUUGCAGGUCACAGCUCAGAUGAGGCAAAGCGGAUAGCUUGAUUACUGGAUGCAGGAUUAGCAUCCACCAUGAGCCUGUGCACCUGGUCCAUCGUAAUUCUUUGAAUUUACUCUAUUGAAUGCAGGGUGUUCCUGAAAUUGCAAGAAUUAUGGCACCAGAUUGGUCGUCGAUGGACAGAAGGCAAUGCUGUGCUGCCAAUUAAGUUGCCUGGUGAUGUUUCUAACAUGCAUUCUGUACUAUCUGACAUUUUAGAUUUCAGGCUGCUAUCGUAUCUGGUUUGUGACUGUAUUUUCUACCAAUCAAGUUGCCAUCAAACUUAAAUAUUGAAGCCUCUGGUGGAUAUGAUGAUGAAUUGACUGUAGACUGUUGGCCCUUGGGCAUUGCAAAGAGAAGGAAAUAUCUGUUAAGAUAGCCAAAACCAUCAAGUUAGUCCAGAUCAUGCGCUACAAAAUUUCACUUCUUUUAUGAACUGCUGUAGUGUGUAAUAUAAAUAAUGCCAUCAAGUUAAUAUGUAUGUGCAAAAAAUCCCCUGACAGGAAAUUAUUAGGAAUUUAUAUUAGAAACAGGAAACAUGAAUGCUGAAGCAUGUUAGAACUGACAAAACACAAUCAGACAUAGGCAGGUUCUUGGGACUGCAUGAAGAGAGACUCAGAUUCCUAAGGAUUGUUCAAGUGCAUUCGAUGUGAUUUGCCGACGAAUGGAACAGAGGAUGGCCUAUGGCCAGAAUGAGCAGGUGAGGCUCCAUACUAUCUUACCGUAUGUCUUCCUCAUGUCUCAUGUGUUGCAUUGCAUGUAACUGUUAAAGUAUCUGUGCUACAGAUCUCACUUUAUUAAAUCAUGUGAGAUUAAACUUACAUUUAUAUUGUCAUUAAUAGAAAUCAACAGAAAAGAGGUACUGAUUGGAUUACUAAUUCAUUAUUUGUAGUUGCCUUAGUCAAGAAUAUAAAUUUGUCAGGGACAACUCAAAUACAGAAACACACUCAUGAUCCUUUGUAGUUUGCAGUAGAUUGCGAGUUUAAUGGUAAAUCUGGACUUGAACUUCUUUUCAGACUCUGUUCUACCACCGAAUUUCAUACUGCAUUACUUCAUGCUCGAAAAAUGGAUGAAAUCAAAUCGAUAGCCUUCCUCGGUUAACCAUUGCAGAGACACCGCUCUUGUAAUUCAGGACAUGGUACUGCUGCACGAAGUGGAGGUGGAAUACCCGGACGGUCGACCCAUCGAAAAGCACCAAGCGAUGCUACUGGAGUUCGGAAAGUUUGAAAAUGGCCAAUCCACCACUGCCAUGUCCCUCACCGUUGGUGUAGCAGCAGAAAUAGGGGCUCUGGUAGUAACCUUAACCACAGUUAUACUUGCAUGAGGAUAAAAGCAGAAACCCCAUGUAUAUUCAUUUACUCUUGCCCCAUGCCAUGUUGCAGCUCUUGCUCCAGAACAAGGUGCAGACGAAAGGAGUGAUUAGGCCUCUGGAACCUGAAAUCUACAUUCCAGGUGAGUGCAACGUGGACCAUGGUUUUCAUGCCUGUCCUUUGUGGAAUCACCGUGACAUGCAACAGUGCUGACUCGUGUGUUUGCGUGUGUGAAGCAUUGGAAAUCUUGGACUCGUCAGGCAUAAAGCUGACUGAGAGAGUGGAGAUUUGAAAAUUCGUGUGUACUCCCUCCGUCCCUGUCGUUUUCGCUUCCUGAGAAACAACUUUGACUAAAUAUAUAUAAAAAAUAUUAAUAUUUAUGAUACAAAAUUAAUACAAUUAGAUAGAUAUUUGAAUCUAGUUUUUUAAUAAAUUUAUUUGAAGAUACAAAUGGUGCACGUAUUUUCUACAAAUCCAGUCAAACUUGCGGCACGGAAACCAAAAGCGACAGUUAUUUAGGGACGGAGGGAGUAAGCAUUGGAGAUCUUGGAGUCGUCAGCCACCAAGCUGACUGAGAGAAUGUAGAUUUGAAAAUUCGAAGUUAAUAGUACAUAGAUAUACUAUAUGAUAAUAGCUGGGUACAUAUAUUCUGUACAUACUAUGUUCUGUCCUAAGAAAGGGUAGGAACUCCCAACAGUUUGUCGUCGUCGUUGUACAUAGAAUCUCAUAAUGUAUAACUUUCAAAGCUCUAAAAACAACAGGUCUUGUGUGCAACGAUGAUAGUCGGAUUAGUUAUACACCAUGUACUUUAGUGUGGCACUAAAUUAUGAAUAGGUUCUCUAUACUUAAAGCUUCUUAGACUAUGAUGUUCGUCAGCUCACUGGUGAUUGGAAAGGCGUCUUUAGAAAUUGCUACGCAAAACGAUUGGGAGUAUAGGGCAACCCUGCUUGCUUAUUCAAAUUGAUGUACCUAAGGGUGUAAAAUGUGAAGAUAUAUGGAAGUCUUGAUUGUGGAGAAAAAUUGUCAAUCAAAAUAGCAUCUUAUUUAUGAGGUGGGGCCUGAUUCGACUCAUGUCGAGCCCUCUCCUUUGCACCAACGAACAGAUCCAAUCGUUUAAAAUCAGGUCCAAGUUCACAUCUCUUUUGCCCUCCCACUCAGAGCACAAUCGGCCAGCGCGACGGGGAUGGCGACACAGCCACCGACGGCUGGAGCUCCCUCAAUGCUGCCAGCAGGUAAUUGACUAGCCUAUUACUAUUUGGAUGUGAUGCACAUUGGUCACGAAUUUGUAAAUCUAUCAGUUCCUGCUUCCUGCAUCCAUUUGUGCAGUUCUUGCGGUGGAUGCAGUGCACUGAGUAUAGAAAUUAUUUUUUAUUACUUCUGUGAAACGUUUUGGCCUUGGCAAGUAUGUACAGAUUUAGUUGUUGUUUUUUUAGUCAGAGGUGAGCUACGUGUAUGGGAAAGAAACACUUGAUUGCUUGUUCUAGAUCUUGCCUUCAUAUAAACUGUGAUGCUAUCAACAUGGAGAUUUGAUGCAUUCUACUCUCUCUCUAUUUCACAUGGAAAAGAACUCGUGUUUACUCAAUAAUGCUUAUGAAUUUUCCUUAGAGUUGCAUUUAUUCAUCAUCCUAAAGUAUUCCGUGUCAAGUAAACUCAUACUUCUAAUUUUUCAAAAAACAAUCUGAAAUCAAUGAACCCCUCCUUCCUUGUGAAAUUGUUGUACCUUUUUCCUUAUGACAUCUUAUCUACUUCCACUUUCCUGGUGCAGAAUUUUUGAAAGUAGGAAACGUAAGCAAUGACAGUGAGAGUCGCAGCAAUACUGAGCUCAAUAGGUGAACUAGACAAACCAUUCUGCUGUAGUUCAUUUUAUCACUGCAGUCAUCGUCGGACAAUGAGGUCAGAACCAGCAGGUUCGCAGAGUGACUUGUGACUUGUGGAUAAUCCUGCAGAUUCAACAAUGGUAAAGUAACGAAUGGUUAAGGUAUAAGUAGAUUUACUCAAUUAUACUCCAAUAGCUAAUGCAUUGCAUAUAUUGCUUGGCCGUGUAUAUAAAUAUUACAUCACUGUUCAACAUAAGUAAAUAGCUUGGUCCUUCAUAAUAAAGCAGUCCAUUUUGGUAAAAGCUAUAGUGCAAUUAGUUUUCUUGAUUUUCUUAAAAUUUUACUCAAAGUCUGUUCCUUAUGUUGUACAUUUGCCUCGCGGGCUGGCUAACUGACCUACAUGAGGCUGGCUAACUGAUCUGGAGGUUCACUAUCUAUGUUCUUUCAUUUCAUUGUCAAACAGAGAUAUUCUAAAUCUGAAAGUCUGUUGAAAUUGCCUAUGGAGUCUUGUGGUACCUUUAGUGUUUCUUAUCAUGUCCAGUAGGAGGUCUUGGAAAACAUAUUUGCCAUACAUGAUUUUUUUUAAAUCGAAAGUAGUAAUAUGCUGUGUAAUUGCCUUCUUGCCUCCUGACGUGUGGCAAAUUCAUUGAGCGUUUCCACUUACAUCGCUGGCAUAUUCAGAAAACAACGCAAAGAUGAUGGUUUUGGGUGAGAGGUCCUUUGGUCAAGGUAAUUUCAGAGCAUUGAUUUUCAAUGUACUUGUAAAGCCAAGAGAAAGUUGAGCAGGGCACAUUCAGUUGUUAACUGGACUGUUGGCUUGCUGCUAUGGAAACAUGUUUUCAGCCUUAUUACUUGCCGAGUUUACAUUGGGAUCUGAAAACUGGACAGCGUGCCAUUAGUUUUGUCUGUCUCCAGGACAUUGCCCAUGCACAUGAACUGACUGAUUACCAUGAAAAUUCACCUGUUUCAGUUCCAAACUAAUUAUUGCUUCAAGGUCACAAAGCUAUAUGAAAAUCUGUAUCCAAUUGAAUGCCAGAACUCUCUAGGAUGAUGUCAGGCAUUCCCAUUUAUAGGUUAACCUGAAGUGAUUCUUGAAGAUUAGUUUCUGUGUGGUUGAUUUGAACUGUUUGUCAUAUUGUAUGCUUCAUCUUGAUUACUAUCAAUUUCACAGGUCAUGUUCAUUGUGAGGAAUGGAGCGCAAUGCCUUGUGGUAACUCUGGGCAGACGAAAAUAGGCCACCUCUCCCAUUUUCUUGAUAUUUAUUUUCUGAUAUCUGACUAUUGUAUUUGUCGUGAAAUUUAAAUUGUAGACACUAACAGAUCAUGUGUCACUUCAUGCUUUGACCAUGUGAAAAAAAUUCAGUGUAUUUACCCAUGAUCGGUGCCUUGCCCCGAGUGGUCUUUAAUUCCUGAAUUAGGCAACGGUGAUUUUUCUUCUUAAUAUAUAGAUGCGCAGCUCUCCCGCGUGUUCGAGAAAAAUGAGGCAACGGUGACACAGCGCUCGUAGAAAGUAGAAAGUGAAGAAGCGGUUUGAGCAUAUUGCUGUUGACAGCUACCUCCGCAAGAUUUGGCCAGUAUCGUGAGCUGAGUUUCACAACCCUGAACCACUUGGUAAAAAACAGUCUGAAUUUUGCGUUGUGAGUAACUAACUAGACAUCCGAAUAAAUUAGUGUACUGAUAUUCUGAAAUUUGUUUUAGCACUGGGACUCUCUGGACUAUCCGGUGGAAUCAGGCCUUGGCAGGACUGAGGCAGAUGUGGGGGGUGACACCGUGCAGGUGAGGUGGUGGCGGUACCUGGCUCUGGCAUCUCCCUUUAUCCGCUUGAUGGAAUGGCAGCAUGGGUAUGGAGACACCAUCAGCAUCUAAACAAGGCCCAAAAGGUACAAAGAUAUGAUUUAAUCACUUUUGAUUUGUUUAUUUGCUAUCAUAUAAAUUGCAGGUCUUGAGUAAUAUGUCAAUGCUAUAAUUUUGCUUGCUUGUUGUGUGUCCUCUCUAAAAUCUUUUCUUUACCAUAUAUAUCCAUACGCACAAGAUAUUUGCAGUUACAAGUAUAAUCCUCAAGGAGUGAAAAGCUUGGGAUUCUGUUCGUGCAGGCAACAGGCAUUGAUUGCUAAUCAGCAUGGCCUCCACAAGUACCCAUCAUAGGAAGUGCAGCAACCAAUAUUGUGUUCAAACCUGAAGAAAAUAUAUGGGGAUGGCUGGGUGGCUGCACAGCUCAUGGCAGGGACCAAUUUGGAGUCUGCAUCUUCUUUCCCACAUAUAUAUGAUAUUUCCAUAUACUGUCAGGAUGCUAUUAAACUGCCUUCACCAGAUUACUAUAAACUGUGAACUUCGGAACUUUAAUUUUCGAUAAGUUGGAGUCGACGCUUAAAACUUCAGAGCUUUAUUUACUCCUAAGUACCAACAGCUCUAAAUUUUUGUGCACUGCACCCUUAGUUUUUAGUGAACAAUACUGACUGCUGAGGUUAUAAUGCAUCUUUCUAUGUGGGACUAAAGUUUUGUCAAGUAAGGCUAUGUACACAUUGAUAAAUCUGCUUCAGAAUAAUAUCGCUGAUACAUUGCAAUCUCACUAUCUGAACAAAAUCAGGUUUAUCAGUUAUUUAUAGUAGACUUGCUUGUUAGAAAGGACCUAAAUAGGUUUUCUUUGUCUAUGUGAAUUUUCGGGGAAUUCUGCUUAUCUUCCAUGGAUAGAUGCUACUUCUCCUGUAAUAUCGAAUUGGGUCAUGUGUGUGUCAGCUCUUUGCUAGCCAAAGGAGCUUGUGACUUGCAACUACUACUGCUUAUUCAAUGAUCUCUAAUAACUGAAUCAUUUUGUUCAGAUUCUAAUUACCAGGUCUUUUCUCAUCUCUUUAUGUUUUGAGGUGUUGGAUGAAAUAGGGUUAAUGGUGUUUGCUACCAUUCUACAAGAAAAUAGGGUUAAAAUAUUCUUGUAUUCCUCAGAUUAUUUGUGUCAUGCAAACUCCACUUUAGAAAAUUCCAUUCUAAAUGGUUGUGUGAGAUUAUGUACCAUUCUAAUAUGAUCUCAUGAGGGGAAUUAUUUAGCCUGUAGCAACGCACGGGCACGAUCCUAAUGGAAUUGAAAAGAAUAGAGAUCGCGAUGAACCACGAGAAUAUCUAGUGUUGGAACGCAAAGCGGAGGGCAAGUACCCAUACAAAAUCUAAUAACUCUGCAACAGCCAUCACUAGCAAGUUGUCAUACACUCAUUAUGGUCUUGGCCACGAGACAUGAGCAAGAGAUGCACAUCAUGAUCUAGGAAGCAGCAGCGCGCGGGUAUGGUCGCAUGGAACAGCCUCUUUGCCCGCGCCGGCCACCCCUUCCACUGCUGCUCAAAAGGUGCUCGACAAAAUGCCACUCCAGGACACUGCCCGCGCCGGCGCGCCUGGGCAGGAAAGAAAACAGGAAAAACUCUGAAAAGGGAGUAGUAAUGCACAGAAACUCACAUUGCUAUUCGAGUUGCCAUGAAACGUUGGGAUGGGUGUAAGUAACGGAUCAUAGAGACUGUCCAUUGUCAACUUGUCAUUAUUAAACAAAACUACUAUUAUUUUCCCUCCUGGCCUCGAGAUGCUAAUGGAUGGCCCAAAACUAAUGCAAGAUGCACAUGCUCUCACAUGGUUGAAGACACGCAGAUCAAGAUGCACAGAUCGAACACAUCUGGACGAACGUGGUUCUAUAUUGCUGUAGUGUAUGCAACCAAUUAAACACAUCCACUUGGCUCCUCCAAAGUCAACGCUCGAAGUCUCCAUUUUCCACAAAAGCAGCAGCUCAAACCAAGCGUCCAGCUUCUCUCUCUCCACCCAGCAACACUGUGUUUCCUGUGUCCUGUCACCUGUGCGUGUGUUUUUGGAUCUCCAGGCGUUGCCAUGGCUGAGGUACUGGCCACCAUGGUGGUCGGGCCACUGCUGUCCAUGGUGAAGGAAAAGGCCUCCAGCUACCUCCUGGACCAGUACAAGGUGAUGGAGGGGAUGGAGGAGCAGCACAAGCUCCUGAAGCGCAAGCUGCCGGCCGUCCUGGACGUCAUCGCCGACGCCGAGGAGCAGGCGGCAAAACACAGAGAAGGGGCGAAAGCUUGGCUGGAGGAGGUCCGGACGGUGGCCUACAAGGCGAAUGAUGUCCUCGACGAGUUCAAGUACGAGGCGCUUCGCCGCAAAGCCAAGGCGGAGGGCCACUACAAGGCGCUCGGCAUGGAUGUAAUAAAGCUCUUCCCUUCUCACAACCGUUUUGUGUUCCGUUAUAAGAUGGCAAACAGGCUCUGCAUGAUCUUGCAAGAAAUUGAUGUCCUCAUCGCAGAGAUGAAUGCAUUCAGGUUCAAAUUCAAACCGCAGCCGCAAAUGCUCAUGCAAUGGAGGCAGACGGAUGCUUGCAUCCCCACUGAGUCUGUGGACAUUGCCAGCAAAUCAAGAGCUCAAGAGACGAAGGAUCUUGUUCAUCAAUUGCUCGAGAGCAGUAAGGAUCGAUUGCUUGCUGGAGCCAGCAGUAAGGAUCUCAUGGUCCUUCCGAUAGUCGGAAUGGGGGGGUUGGGCAAGACCACCUUAGCACAGCUCGUUUACAAUGACACUGAAAUUAAGAAGCAUUUCGAGUUGCGGCUCUGGGUGUGUGUCUCUGAUGAUUUUGAUGUGGAUUCCCUGGCUAACAAAAUAGUGAAAGAGAAUGGUUGUGAAGCAAGUGGAAGUUCAUCAGCACUGGACAAUCUUCAAAAGGCAGUGAGUGGGAAGAGGUACCUCCUCGUAUUGGAUGAUGUGUGGAACCGUGAUGAGCCCAGCAAGUGGGAAAGGUUGAAGUCCUACCUUCAGCAUGGUGGCAGCGGUAGCUCAGUGCUGACAACAACUCGCGAUGAAGCUGUUGCUAAACUAAUGAUGGGUACAACUGAAGGAGCCUAUAAACUUGGAAGCUUGGAUGAAGAGUCCUUAGGGAAAAUUAUCAAGGCAAGAGCAUUCGGUUCAAAACAGCCUGGUGAACUAGUUAACAUGGUUGGUAAAGUUGCCAAGAGAUGUGCUGGUUCUCCUUUAGUUGCUACAGCAUUGGGCUCUUUACUGGGUACCAAGACCAGCAAGCAAGAAUGGGAGGAUGUACUAAAUGGAAGCACGAUUUGUGAUGAGGAAAAUGGGAUUUUACCAGUACUUAAACUAAGUUACAAUUGCUUGCCAUCAUACAUGCGGCAAUGCUUUGCUUUCUGUGCUAUGUUUCCCAAGGAUUAUGAGAUUGACGUGCAAAUGCUAAUCCACUUGUGGAUGGCCAAUGGUUUUAUCCCAGAGCAAUCAAAAGUGUGUCCUGAAACUUUUGGAGAAAGAAUUUUCAUUGAGCUCAAGUCAAGGUCAUUUUUUCAGGAUUUGAAGAAUGUCCCAUUUGAUGACAAAUAUUCUAUUUAUAAAAAUGGCAAUAAGCACAGGUAUUGUUCUAGAAUUACUUGUAAGAUCCAUGACCUUAUGCAUGAUGUUGCACAGUCUGCUAUGGGAGAAGAAUGUGCUGCAAUAGCUACACACCCAAGUGAAAAAGAGGAUGUUCUUCGUUCAGCUCGUCACUUGUAUUUGUCAAUCCGUCAACCACAAACUCUUCUGAAUGCUUCCCAAGAGAAAGGAUCUCCAGCUUUCCAAACACUGAUUUGUGACGGAUAUGUAGGAGAUUUGAAGAUUUUAUCAAAAUACAACUCUAUAAGAGCUUUAAAGAUCGUGUGUGGUUCAAUCUUAAGGCCGAAAUAUCUUCAUCACCUGAGGUAUCUUGAUCUCUCAGAAAGUUUCUUUGAAGCACUUCCUGAAGACAUUAGCAUCCUAUAUCAUCUGCAAACACUGAACCUUUCUUACUGUGACCGGCUUAAACGGCUUCCAAAGCAACUGAAGUAUCUGACUGGCCUCCGUCACCUCUACACUCACGGAUGUGGAAAGUUGAAAAGCAUGCCCCCAGAGCUCGGACGCCUAACUUCCCUACAGACGCUUACAUACUUUGUAGCAGGUGCCGAUGGCUCUGGUUGCAGUAAUUUGGGAGAGCUGCAGAAUUCGGACCUUGGUGGUACACUGAAGCUAAGCAAGCUAGAAAAUGUGACAGGAGCAGAUGCACAAGCAGAUGCAGAAGCAGCAGGUCUUGGAAAAAAGAAAAAACUGACCGAACUGGAGUUAUGUUGGACCGAUAGUGACCAGGAAGCACAGAAUAAUAAUCAUAAAGAGGUGGUGGAAGGUCUCAAACCUCAUGAUGAGUUGAAGGCUCUGAGGAUAAAUCACUGUGGGAGCAGAACUUUUCCAACGUGGAUGAAUACUUUGAAAGGCAUGGUGAACCUGAAAUUAUUCCAUUGCAAAAAGCUCGAAGAGCUUCCUGCACUCUGGGAGCUACCAGCUCUGCAAAUUCUUGGCCUGGAGGGUUUGGAGAGUUUACAUUGUUUGUGCAGCGGUGGUACUACACUCUGGGAGUUCACAUUUCCAAAACUGAAGGUGCUUACCUUGUUAGAAAUGGCAAAAUUUGAGGCAUGGUGGGAGACACAUGAGGUACAAGGAGAAGAGCCGAUAUUUCCCAAGGUUGAGGAGCUGGAGAUUAAGGAGUGUAAAAGUUUGACUGCAUUACCAAAAGCAGCGUCGGUGAUUACAGAAUU